Molecule: long non-coding RNA, 57146 nt
Filed under: Xyrichtys novacula (pearly razorfish)
Lineage: Eukaryota; Metazoa; Chordata; Actinopteri; Labriformes; Labridae
Source: RNAcentral
UACUACAAAAGCAGAGGAUAAACAUAGCAUUGUCACCAGUAAGAGAGAUCGGCAAAAGACAGCACCAUAAAUAAGGGAGGAAAUCAACAUGACAAGGUCGAAACCCAUAUCUCUGACAACCUUGAAAUGACGUUUGAGAAAGGCUGGUUUGAAGGGUUGUGUAUUUGCAAAAAAACACUACUUCGUCCACAGAACAAGAAAAAGAGAUAUGAGUGGGCAAAAGCUCACAAAAAUUAGACUUAUGAUGACUAGAAACAAGUUUGCACUGAUUGGUUCAAAACACACAGUCUAUGUCCGCAGACAAACUGGUGAACGUCUGAAAGCACCAUGUGUUACACCCACAAUUCAGCAUGGAGGUGGUAGUUCCAUGGUAUGGGGAUGUUUUGCAGGUGAUGGAGUAGGAGAUUUGUUUGAAGUAAAGGGUAUUAUGAAGAAGGAACAGUACCACUCCAUCCUCCAGCACCAUGCUGUUCCAUCUGGGCUCAGACUUGUGGCUCGUAAGUUUGUUUUGCAGCAAGACAAUGGGCUCUAUUGUCGUGCCUUGCCAGAGACGUGCCGACAAGGCGUUCCCAAGCACAAUUUGGUAUUUUGGUAAGCAGCAGAGCCCGGCGUAAGUAUCCCCCCUCCCUAACUCAGCUCCUCCCAGCGGCGUAAGUCGUAGCGAGGGAGGAGAAAGGGCGUGGAGUGGGUUUAACACAGCCGAGACCUGUUUUCACCAAUCACAUCAGCUCCUCUCCUUGCCUUUAAAUCCGCCACAGGCGAGGCGUAUUACUAUUUCCAUGAAGUAGUCAAAGAGAUCAAGAGAUGUCUUAAGACAGUAAUGCCACAAGAUGGCAACAGAAGGCAGCUCCUCAACUAGUGACACUGAAAGCGCUGCAUUGGGCGUCCUCCACACUCUCUCAUAUGAGCACAGAUGGAUUUGGUGUGUGUAAUGUUGGACCCACUGGUAAGACAAACACCCUUUUCCACAAAUAAAGACACUCACAUAAAGUUGCACAUAUUCAAACCUCAUGUGACAAAGGUGGGUUGUGCGCACAGAUCACAACAUAAACUCCAAAAAUGGCAUUAAAAUUGGAACCAUCUGUGCGUAAAUGACGCAUCGCGCUCCGUGGCCUGGCUCUUUCUUUCAUAGAUGUUGGCAUAAAAAAUAAAUUUGCCUCACAAAACUUAAUAUUAUAAUAUUCGUAUGUCGGCUUAAAGUAGAUAACGCAUCUGGGCACUGAAACAAAUCAUCUGUUCAGCCGCAGCAGCCGAGACAUGUCCAGGUCGAGCUGCGCGAGAAAUAAGAGGAAGAGGAAGAAAGAAAGGGAGGGAGACAAAUUAAAUAUCUUGUUAACUUCAUCAUGUGUGUCUAUUUACUAGAUAUUUAAUUUAAUUUAAUGCGGUUUCAGCUGUGUUGAUUUGGUCAGGUUGUGUGUCCAAACGCGCUCAUCAGAUCAGAUAUAGAUCAGAAUAUAUCUAUAUAGAUCUAAAUGUAUGUGCUGACUCAGAUUAUUAGUUGUUGAUGAUUAUUUAUUGCACUGUAAUUUGCCUGACCCUGUGGAAACCUGCCGGUGAGGCAUCAGUGACGUAUGCCAAUACGCCGCCGGUCUACCAAAAAACUACUAGACCAGCUGCGUUCCGCCUGCGCUGAAAGCUGACCAGGUUUGAAUCGGCGAGCUUUCAGCGCACUUUACACGCCGGUGGCGAGCACGAAAAUGUCACUGCGCCCGCUGAUUCUGUUGACACCUCCCCCUGCCACGCCACCACGCCCAGCUUGGUGGAUCUCGGCUCACCUCCGUGCGCCUCAGUCCACGAAAAUACCAAACUGGCCGUACGCCGGGCUGAGCCCUCCGUCGCCUCACCGGCGCGCACAAAAAUAGAGCCCAAUGACCCUAAGCACUCUGCCAAGCUCUGUCAGGGUUAUCGAGACAAAAAAGAGGAGGAAGGUGUUCUUCAAAAGAUGGUUUGGCCUCCUCAGUCUCCAGACCUUUCUCCAAUUGAGCUUGUGCAGGAUGAAUUGGAAUGAUCGGUCAGAAAAAUGCGUCCCAUGAAUCAACAGUCUCAUUUUAAUGAACCUAAGAAAGCUUGGAAUUCAAUCCCUGGAACAUACCUUAAAAAACUUGUGGAACGAAUGCCUGGUAUAUGCCAAGCUGUUAUUAAAGCCAGAAGAGGUUACUUUAAAGAAAGCAAAGUCUAAGCAACAAUAACUUAAAUACCUUAAUAAUUAUAGUCAAAAUGCCUUCUGAUAAGUUACUCUUUACACAAUAGUCAUGUUUAUUGUGUUGCAAAUUAUAUAUAUGAAACUAUGAUCCUUUUUUGUACAAAUCUGAUCUUGCCUCCAUAGUUUUGGCCUGUAGUGUAUUUUUAUAGAAUAAUAGACAAACUGUACUUCUGGUUCUCCCAUCAUGAAGAUUGCCAUUAUAAGAAAACUGUAGGUAGAAGAUGUGUCACUCUGGUAAAUGUCUGAUUUUACUUGAUAUUCACACCCCACACAUCAGCCACCUGUUUAGGGCUAGAUUAGGAACACUGAUUUUCAAUCAUUCUUGGCAAAUGUUUGUCAGUUUUCUGGGUGUGAAUCUCUUGGGAUCAUAUUUGCAGAAUAUGUCAUGUUGAGGAGUUUGUUUUUCUGUUAUUUUUAGUUUUUCAAGACAUUUCACUGUAACCCUCAGCAAGAGCUAACCAAACUCAUCAGGAUUUGCAGAUUUUUUUUUUUUUUUUUCCUGGGCUACUGUAAAUCUCCCAGCUCUCAGGACUUGCUUUUCUUAAAUGAAUUGCCUUGACAUAGAUGAAUUGCUGUAUUUUCAACAGCAGGGAGAUUAGACAGGAGGGGGCACAGCAUGCGUAUCUUGCUACGACAAGAGGCUGUGCAAAUGCUUUCACUCACUGGUGGGGCAAUGGAGACGACCACAGAGAGGUGUGGAUUAUCUGCUCUCAAAGAGAUGAUCUGCUAAUUUAAUUGCCAGUAGUUUAAUGGAGGACAUCUUUAUGUGGCCAGAAGGAUGUGUUGGUAUAAAAAAGACAGUCAGUUCCUUCAGAGGCUGUCGCUACUGGACUUUCAUUAUGGUGGGGAAUCUCAAUGACAAAUGAGGAAGAUAAAUUGUGCUUUGAUAUGAAUUUGAUAAUUUUCUCAGAAGGCUUUUUAGUUGAGUUGUCCUCUAUUUAAGGUUGACAGGAUGGGAAUUUGUGUUAUUUAAAACUUGUCAUUUGGAGCUAAGUUCCCCUUUAAAGCCAAAAAUAUCCAUACAUUCAAAAUUACACAGUGAGCCAAUUUGUAUGAUUCGUGUCCUUUUAAGAAGCCUUCGAGCGAUUCAUGGCAAUAUCCAUGAGGUUUUUUAUACCUAUUCUGCCCUCAGUAGUGUAUUGAACUAGCUAUACAGAUAACUAAUAGUUGCUCAAAAAAAAACAAAAAAACACCAGGAUGCCUCUUACUGUUUUUACAUUUAUUGAAACUGACUGGAUGCUUUUUCCUUGUUUCUUUCUUUUGUAAAACAUAUUUUUGUAACUUUUGUAACAAAUGAAAAGGUGCAUAUCACAACCAAAGCUGUAAGUCUUACUAGCAGAAGUCACAUAAACACUGUGAAUCCAGCAGUCAUAUAGACUAAAUAUAUGUAAAUCAUUAUUGCAGGCUAAGCUACAACUGAAUUAACAUACGAAUCACUAGCGAUUAGCAUGACGCUAAUUUACAUUGAAAAACCCAUAGGGAUACUAGCGCUAUUAGUGUCUUAUUUUUUCUCAGACUUUUUAGACAAAACACAACUUAAAGUGCUUUAUGUGAGCAUCUAACAUGAAGUAACGUCUUGUGACAAUAUAGCUAAUGCUCACAGACAGAUGUCCUUAAACAGCCUAAUAACAUUUUGCAGCAUGACUCAACACAGGUGAACUUUUGACACGGCUCUGUGCAAUUUACUUUGCAACUACGGAAAAUCUAACAGGACAAACCUCAAACUGAAGUGUGCUGUGUAACAACGGUAACCCCAAUAGGACAAACUCAAACUCUGAAUUUAGACUGCAGGGCAGUACAAUACCAGUGCCAGUACCAGUAUUGAUAUGAUCUGAACUCUGAUAUAAAGUAUUCUCAGUUACACUGGCAAAAUGUUAGAAAUACAAACACAGCCAGUCUGUUAUGGCGAGGCCGAAUCAGAGUCGGUGUUGUUAUAUAACAGAUAGGUGCACCGUACCAGCUACAUUUCAAUGAACUCUCCUCAUGAGAAGAGGUAGAAGACCCCUCAAUGUUGACAGUAGGAUAAUGUUGACUCUAGUUCAGGCUGAGAAUAACAUUACAGUAGACACUUUUGUCUUCAGACAAAAGCACACAGAAAAACUGCUGUGCUCCCAAAGGGACAGUUUGCCUACACAAGAUGAUAGAGCCAACUUUGGGCUUGCUGACAAAAAUAUGUUUAUAUCUCCCACGACAGUUCUCUCACGCUGCUAUUUUUCUCCAGUGUCAGAGGCCAAGCCUCUCAAGGUGUGUUAUCAUUUAGUACGGUGAAGUUUUCUGCUGGUGAAUUGAUUCUGUGGGUUGAAGGCUACCCGUCUCCACAGCAUCCUCCAGCCAAAAAAGCCAGACCGAACCCGAUGCAUUCGUGCCCACAUAUUCCCUCUGAUCUUGUCCAAAUACCGAAAGGGGUGAGCACGAAAAGCCUCCUUCGAGGGAGGAGUGUGAAACCCUCCUUGAAGGAAAAAUAGGACCUUCCAUCUCACUCUUUUUCCCUCUCAGUUGCUCACAAAGGCAGCAGACAGGCGGGUAGAAAUCAAUUCCAUGGAGCCACCAGAUGAAAGUGAGAAAGAAAAAGAGCGAGGAAAGACAGAGAAGCUGUAUGAAGAUUUCACCAGGCGAAAAAGCAAAAAUAACCAGUGGUUAUUGGCUAGUCUUCCACCUGAGUCUCAGGACUUAUAAUACAGUAUGAAAAUGUGGUAAACCUAGUGGGCGGUAGUAUACUCAAGGAACCUCUUGCUGCACACAGACGAUUUCUCUCCAAGGAGCUUUCCUGAAGACAUUUCCAAUGGUCUUUACUGACACAAAUAGCAGAGCUGUACCAAACAUUUUUUUACUCAGUGGGAUGAUCAUCUAACACCUUGAGUCUGUAGCUAUGGUGGCUAUUAUUGUUAUCUAUUUUUGAAAUAAAUUUGUUGAAGAAACACAAUAUUUCAGAAAAAAAUAUCAUAGCCAGGCUGAGGUAUGCGAGAGCGAAGUGUUGCCUAAUUUCUUAGAUUCAGAUGAAGCAGCUAUCUCCAAUGAAGUUGAUGGAGGAAUGAGAAAAGCUGCAGUUCCUCCUUAGUCCUAUUGAGGCUGGAAGCCAAAGCUAAUCAGAACUUAUCACACACCACAUUCAUUCUUAUCUUAACAGCAAAUUUCAUCAUUUUUACAUCUUGGUUUACAAAAAAAUUUAGUCCUUGUGGCUCAUUUUCGAAUUAUUGAUAUCAGUUUCUUCCGUCAUGCAUUUGCAGAAUUGGGGAUGUGUGAGCAGAUGAAAAGACAUUGUUUCAUUAGCUGCCAUCAGACCCUCUUUCUACCUCUUUGCUUUGGUGCAAGAAGUUUUCCACCAUAUUAAGCAAUGUGCAGUUUUUAUGUAGAUGUGUAGCUCCUUCAAGUACCAUCUGUGACAUCUGUGCUUCCAGGUAUCAAAUACAGACAGACCCACUGCUCAGAGAUGUCUUGUCAACUUUCACUAACCCCAUUGCCGGUCACAUUGUGCUCUAUUCUAUGAUUGUAUGAUUGAAACCUAAAAAGUGAGAAAAACGUCUAAGAGUGGUAAUACUUUACUGGUCCACUUGGUUGCCUCUUUGAGGUAAAAUAGGUAAAAUACUGUAACACAAUAUGAGAUAUUGAUAUUUUGAUACACCAGAGUGAGAAACACAAGGCUUUUUUUUUAAAUCUGAAAAUCAUGUAAAACUAUUAAAGGGGUAUCAGAGAGGAAGAAUAGAGUCUGAAAAAAAUGCACAACACCACGGAAUAUGUUAAUAAAGUGCAGCUCAGAGAUUCCCAAACGAGUCAUUCAGUUCUGUUUAAUUCUAACACACUCAAGUGUUAAUGCAUAAACACAAACUUUUGCUAUUCUACUAUUUAAAGGAUGUGCAGGAAAAGGUUUGCCAUGAUGGGAAAGGGAGAAAUACAGAUAUUAGUGUGGCCUCAAAUGCACUGGCAGACCAAGUUGGAAGAUGAAGCCUCUGUAGGUCUCUUGCAGGUGCAUACUUCUGUGAGUGUGGAUGUAUAUGUAACAGAAGUAAAGUUACCAAAAUAAAGUGAUGACUUAUAGAAACAUGAAUCCAAACACCUGAUAAAACCACAGGAUUAGGGAGAAUCUCUCCACACAGACACACACACACACACACACACACACACACACACACACACACACACACACACACACACACACACACACACACACACACACAUAAGCAGCUUCAAGCUGACCAUGAUUCUAAAUGGUGGCCCACUUACAAGCAGGCUUAAGUGUUACCUUAAAACCUGCAAGACUGCUCUUACGUGUGUGUGUGUGUGUGUGUGUGUGUGUGUGUGUGUGUGUGUGUGUGUGUGUGUGUGUGUGUGUGUGUGUGUGUGCAUGUGUACUGACACCAAAGCCAACAGCUCUCAACCAGUAUUAGGAUUAACCCACUGAUUGAUCCUGGCAUCACAAACAUAGACAAGGGAGAGGGAGGGAGAAAACAAAGAGAGAGAGAGCAUCCUACAAAGUUAGCAAAGAAGGUGGGUAUUCAAAGAAAGAUGGAAAGAGGGAGUGAAAGAGGAAGAAGAGAAGUAGAGCGAGGAAAAGUGAGUACGAGUGGGUGUGAAUGAGUGGGAGGAUUAGUAAGAGAGAGGAGACAAACACACACAUGCACACACACACACUUCCCACUCGUAAACCUAUGAUAGCAGAUGGACCAGAGCACCUUCCAGACUUUACAUCAUGUGUGCGUGUGUUUACAGAACAUGUUUGUGUGUGAGAUCAUUCAAACCCACCUGUGUCUUUCCCACCUGUGCUCUGUUCAUUCAUAGUGAGGAGGGCGCACCAACACACACUCGAGGGACGGACCAGGAGAGCAAAUCAGGCUGAGCAGAGGAAGUCUAAGCAUGGAUGUGUGUUGUUUUGUUUUCCACUGUGAACAUGUGAGUGUGUGAAUGCCUGCCAGAAUAAAACUACAUUAAAUUGAUUCUCAUGACUGCUGAGGUGGAAAAGCUGCGUGCUUUGUUUUCCACCUGCAUUAAACGGCCUGACUUUGUAUUUCAUGUGUGCGUUCAUGUCUGACUGUAUUUACGAACAAACACCACUGUGUCUCUUAUUUAUUCUUUUAUCUGGAGGUCUUACCCUCUUUUAUCGACCCUGGGAAAUGAAACGCUACCCCCCCCCCCCCCCCAUUUCCUUUAACUGUUUUCAGGGUAUUCUAGCAAAAAAAAGAAUGCACUUCACGUCUCAACAGCAGAUUUGAGCUGACAAGAUAUCAUUGGAUUACAAAGCUCAUUUCACCGUGAGUUUAACACUUGACACACUGGCUCCCGGGUUGGUCAGGCAUGCAGAUGGAGAUGGAGAUGGAGCCACGGUUCCCUCCUACUCGUCACUGUCUGUGGCAUUUGUAAAGGGCACUUGCAGAGAGCCGUAGACAUGACAAGCUCCAGCUCCAUCUGCAUCCCACGAUUGCUCCGUGGACUGAAUAUAACAGACGCUUUCCAAACCACUGGAGCGAUGGGACACUUUAGCAGCAAGGCGGCGAAAGUUACACACACAUAGGUAAAAACCAUUAGUGCAAUGGCACUAAUACAGAUGCCCACAUAAUCUUGUACAAGGAGGGGGGCCACUCGCUGGCCAGAGUGCUACCCUUUAUUGCAAAGAAAAUUCAGAAAACAUACAGUCAGUCAAGCGAGAUAAAACAAAGACAUGCUUGAGGGUAUUUAGAGGUGCAGGAAGGGCAUUUCCAAGCUGGAGAUAGGGAAGAAAGACGAAACGUAUGGACCUAAAAGGCGAGGCAACGCAUUAAAGCUUGAUUAGCUGCGCAUCAGAAAGAAGGCUUACUUUCUGUGUGCGUGUACUUAGCCUUCACCGAGACCCCAGAGCCUUUCACCCCGCAAGCCUCCAGUGUGGCAAAGAGAGAAAACUUGUGUUCCCUUUCAUGGUACAUAUGUACUUCUGCCGUGCAGAGGGGAUUGUAAUGUUCCCAAUGGCGGACCCCGGUGAUUUGUCAAGAAUGAUGGUACAUCUGCGGGAGACAGUAUUAAUGAUGCACUGGCCGCUGUUACAAGCUCCCUCUGUGCUGUACAAACACACACAAAUCCACACAAACAUACAUACACAAGGAGAGAAUGUGGCAAAUGCAUUACACAUGCACAAAUCACAUUUGAAAAUCCCCUCACUUCAUCCUAGUCAAGUCAUCAAAUGAGAAACAGUUCAAGUUCUCAAUGCUGAGAGUUGAUAAACUUUAAGGGAAAAACAACCAGGAAGAUGACUUAUAACCUUGAAAAGUGCUGAAACAAUCAGUUAAUUUAUCAAUUGGGGUAAAUACAUUUGUCAACCAAAAGAAAAAAAAAAUGUUUUGGUCUUAAAAAGCUGAAUUUCUUUGUUUUCCAACAACAAUUGAAAAUCUUUUACUCUGAGGCAAACAAGCACAUUUGAUCCAUCACACAGAGCACUGAGGAUCUGUGUUGGCUAUUUAUUUGGUUAUUUCUCUCAGUAUUUGAACUGAAAACCAAACCAGUUUAUCUAACAGGCAACAUUUGGAUUUUUCAAUGGUGAAAGCGAUUGUCUGCUGCUUCCAUUUGAAGCAGUGAAAUUGAUGAGCUCCAUAGCAUAAUGACAAGAAACAUCACAUGUUUUGGGUCUAAGGUUUGUUCUAAAACAUGUGAUUUAUCUUGUUUAUGUAGUAUUUUUAUACUAAAAUAAAGUAAGUAACCUUUAAAGACGAUCAGAACUUGGACCCCAACUAGCUAAUGUAGCCAGAGGAAUAACAGUCUGAAUAGAGAUUCCAGCCAUAGUGACAGUUCUUGGAUUGUUGGCACUGGUAAAUACACAUAUUUUCUUUAUACUGAUAGUUGACAAAAACAUUGUAGAAAAAAAAAAGCUUUUUGUUAAACUUUUGGGGAUUUUAGGACAUUUUUGUCCAUUUUGUUGACUCUUUACUUUACAUUUGUUGAUUAUUUUGGCUGUGUUAUUUUUUCUUUCCAAAUUUUAAAAUGUGACCACUCAUUAUUAUGUCAGGUCAAUAUUCACUGUGUGACAAAAACACUACAUUAAAGACCUUGUCCAUCUAAGGUCUGUAACGUAACUUUUUUUAAGGAUCCCAGAGGGUUAAACAUGACUUGUUGGACUUGUUCAGUGUUUUAAAUUCUUCUGAUGCAAGUCAAUCUUUGCUGUUAUUUCUUAAAAACCCUUGAAUAUUCCAUCAGAUUUCUCCUUAUGUCCACAUAGACAGAUAUCUCCACGUAAGUGCAGCUGACACUGUGUACCAGAUCAAAAAUAUUAACAUUUUCAACAAGUAUGUUGAUAAUCUGGCAUGAUGCCUAUUAUCUUGGCUAUCAAGGAGCAGUUCAGAUAUCACUAAUCUAAUGGAAACAAGUCUCUUUAUAGGGUUUGUGCUGCUGAAGUGAGCCAGGGUGAGGCCUCCAUAUAACACUGAAACCUACUUAAAACAGUUGAAUUGGGGCUGCUCAAGGGAUCAUAAUGGUCCAGUAAAUGGUGUUCAUCUGCGGAUGUAAGCACUUCAUGGAAAUUGACCUCUUUGCAUAAAGUCAUUUGAGCCUGACUGUUGGCCACACUGGAAUAAUAACUGAGAAGUCAGUAUCUAUUCCCACAUUUAAUAGCAUUGCCAGACACUAAUUAGUGGUGAGUUUAAGAUUAAUAUAAACCUAAACCAUACAGUAUCAGAAAAUAUCUAAUUUGGUUUUCAGAUUGUCCAUCAAACAAGACUUCUUCCUACAGACUUUUUUGUUGCAUACAGCCAGUGAAAUUUUUAUUAGGCUUUCACCACCCAAAAUCUUCCCUCUCCUGCAGAUCCUUUCUCUGUAAUCAGAGUCUGAUUAAACGAAUCAAGGAACGCCAAACCUUCAGACAACCUGGCUCAUACAAACAAGCCAGACUGAAUAGAGGCCACUGAAGAGUGCAAGGACAGAGAGAGAGAGAGCAGGGCAAAGAAGAGCGGGGAAGAGGUCAACACUUGGGAGGACGCAGUGAGACUGUGGGGGUACUGAGUUUGUUCAGUGGGUGGGAGGGGGGACCGGGGGCAUCUGUCUACUGUUCAAUUUGCCAUCUGUGAGGCGUGCCUCUGCCAGGAUACCUAAUCAGGCAAUCCAUCACACCCCCAUAGAAACGCUGUCAAUUAUCCACCGUCCCAUGGCUGACAGUGGCUUGCAUGCCAUUCAAAAAGUUGCUGCCUUCCUGAGCGUCACGGUGUUGGUUUUUCAUAUUCAUCUUGUGUCUACUGUAGCAGAUCUUGAACCAGUCUAGUCUAGUAACAACCACUUGUUUCUUACAUUUUUAUCAAUGUUUAGCUACAUUUUAACUUCAGUAGUUGACACACUGUUUCAGUUUGCGGUUCUGUGACACAUAGUUAAUGUGAAGAGCGAGCCGUUAAUAUUAAUAUUUACAUUGAACUGUAUUAUGUGUGCAUGACUGCAUGAACAUUUUAUGGGUUCAAUGUGUUCUCAACCAGUUACAACUGGAACUAAGAGCUUCAUGAUUAACUUAUUAAUUUCCAUGAAGGUUUAACUUUUUCAUUAGAGUAGUUUUUCACUGUCGUGCCACUUGGUAAUCAAAGUAGUCUCUCAAACGGAUACUGUCCCCAUUUAACAUCUGAAAAUCCAUUGUGCCCAGAAUUUAUUACCCUGUAUUCAGAAAUUGUCAGUAAGAACAAACUCUUUCAUUGUUGUGUUUCUAUGUCCUUCUGGUGUUUGUCAGUCUGGAUGGCAUUAAAGGAAUAUUCCAGCUUGAAUGUAAGUUAUGGUCAAACACACCAUAACACUGAGUUAGACAACCCCUUGAGAGAUGAAUGUUGCCAUCUGCUUGAGUCUCUAUUUAUACCAACUUCAGCAACAACCGCACGAUAGCAAUACACAGCGGUCUUUGUGGGGGAGCCCUGAGGAGUUGAUCACAGAGUGCAGCAGUGUUUCACAGCUCGGGGAAGAACAUUUAUGAUCAUUUCUUCAUGGAAUUGCAAUCUGUAAACGAACAUGAUGGAAAGUCUGGAAGGUGCUCUGGUCCAUAUUCUUGUGUAUCUUGUAUGUGCACUGCAGACGUGGGAGUUCUAUUGCCUAAGCGUCUCGGUCUAAUUGAAUUUCCAUGAAGUAAUAAUCAUAAAUUAUCCACUGCACUCUGUGAUUGACUCAUCAGGGCUCCCCCCACAAACAAGCAGCUGCUGGAAGAGAGUGGGUGAGUUGUGUUUGAUCUCUUUGCUAAAGAAAUCAGGCAAAGCAAAGAUUUUUGGUGGCUAGUACUAUGGCUGUGACCCUAUAUGUACUGUUGAUGAAGUUAUGCGCAGUUUUGAGCAUUGUUUGUGGCUAUAGAGUGGCUUUUUUGUUAAGGUUUGCUUGUGGAGACAUAGACCGCUGUGUGAUGCUAUUCUGUGAUCGUUACUGAAGUUGGUAAAACUAGAGAGGCAAGGGGCAAACUCUUACAUCCUGGAGAUUAACAGCAAUAUUUUGGUCACCCUAAAAUAUCACACGAGUACUUUACUUAUCUUAAAUCUGGACAGAAGUAAGAAUCAAUCCACAUCUUCUUAAACCUUUGCUUUGGAAUAAACAACUGCUGCAUGUGUUGGAUGAUAUUUUUCAUAACUUAAAUCUCUAACAAAGAGGUGAAAAGACAAUGGUAUUACCACACUGAGUGUCUGAACAGUUAUCAUUGUACCUGAUGAUCACCCUUUGAACUUCUCUCGCUUGCUUUUUGUCAAAGGCUUUUGUACCGUAAAUCUGUACAUAAAAUCGCCGCAGCAAUUUUAAAAGUUCGAGAGAAUCAGCCUUUCCCCGAUCUCAUAAAGCUUUCACAGAAAAUAUUAAGGGAUGAAGUAGUUUGCAGCAGUGUAAACGUUUUAAGUCUCAUAUUACAUAAACCUACAAUUUAGUGGAAGUCUUAGUUGUGUGUACAGAAACAUACUCUGCUGCUCUUCACACAGGAGCUUAACAGGCUGCAGUUAUGAGAAGCACAACCACUGUCUGCUGGAGAUUGGCAGAAUAUCGACUACAAAAUGAAACGCUCAUUCAGUGGUGGUCUGAAUGCUUUGAAAAAGAUGGUGGGGGAAAGCAAAAUCACAUUUGGUAAUAUAAAAGAGCAGUCGUUUAGAAAGUUAAUGCUUCAUCACAAAGGAGCAGAUCUAUUAACAUGAGAGUUAAAAUAAAAUGUAAACUCACAGUCAUCACUGAGUCAUUCACCAUACAGCAUACGCCAAAGAAAAUCCUGCAUCUAAGUUUAUCAGUUCAUGUCCUCUAUUACGCCUGUAGAAAAAAGGUCACUAAGAUGAGGGCUUUAUUUAUUUAUUUAUUUUUUCAAACACUGAAUUUAAUUAAGAGAGAUGACAUAUAUACUGCUGCACUGCUCGUUCAAACAGCAAUAAGUAUUUACGGGGGUAAAAAAAAAAUAAAAAAAAAAGUCAGUAUGUUUACAUGGAUUUCAAAAAAUCGAUUUUUUGCCUAAGCUCAACUGGACUAAAAAAAACAUGAGAACACAUUAGUCCAGCUGAAUCACACUCAAUCAAAAUUCUCAAAGACAGCAUAACAUACCUGGAUAAUGUGGCCGAGGAUUGAUUUUCUUAUCCAUGUAUACAGCUUAAUUGGACUGAAAGUGGUCCAAGCACUCUGUGCACAUUGGACUUUUAACUGGACCUUGAAUAGCUCUAAUAUGUUGCUAGGAAUCAAAGAAAGGUAGUAGACAAAACCUGUACAGAUGAAAAAAGGACAUAUAAAUGUUGAAACUCCCCGUUAAAUUGUGUUUUCAUUCCACUGGCCUCUUGCUAAUAUAUUUUGCUGACUGUUUUAAUAAAUUAUAGGUCAAUAAAAGGGGGGCAUAAAAGGGGGCAUGUCACCACCUAACACAGAGGAGGAGGACGUGUUUUUGUCAAUACUUUGAUUUUUGUGAGGCGCUUGUAAACUGGGACAAGAACUGAAAUCUGACCAAAUCGCAUAAUCAAGCUGUUUCUGUAGCUCAACUCAACUGUGCUCCUGAGUGAGCUGUCCUACUUUAAGCUAAGCUCUAAUUUUUCUUUAUUUUAUUCCUGAGCAGGAGCCUGACAUCAUGGCCUGAGGGUUAUUUUUCUGCCCAUAAGAGUAAUGGAGCAGUGGAGAGACAACAGCUGCAAAUCUGCAACCAAACACUACAUAACCAUCAGAAUAUUGAUGCAAUUAUUUUGACUACUCUAACAAUUAAAGGGAUAUUCCAGCGUAAAUUCAAGUUAGACACCGCCUCAAGAGAGGAAUGUUGCCAACUGUUUGCUUCUCUUGUUAUACCAACUUCAGCAGUGAACACACGGUAGCAAUACACAGCAGUCUAUGUCUCCACACGCACACCUCAACCAAAAAAAGCACUCUAUAGCCACAAAUAAUGCCCAGAACAGCACCUAACUUCAUCAACAGUACAUAUAGAGUCCCAGCCAUAAUACUAGCCAUCAAACUUCUUUUUAGCUUUGCCAGAUUUCUUUAGCAAAUGGACUAAACACAACUCACCCACUCUCUUCCAGCAACCACUUGUUUGUGGGGGAGCCCUGACGAGUCGCUCACCGAGUGCAGCAGAGUUUUGCAGCUUAAGGAAGAACAUUUAUGAUUAUUAUUUCAUAGAGAUGCAGUAAGAGUUCUUGUGUAUCUUGUACUGGCACUGCAGACAUGGCAGUUCUUCUGCCUUAGCGUCUCGGUCUGAUCGUAGCUAGAGAAGCUAGUGGUCGGCAAAACUAAUCUCUCAAGGGGUGUCUAACUUGGUGUUACAGCAUAAAUUUAAGCCAGAAUAUCCCUUUAAGGUGGGGCAUUGGUUACUAAUUCUUGGCUGAGAUCAAGUUUGAUACAUUUUCAAAGCUUAUGUUAGCAAAUGGUAAAAAGGCAAUUACAUGUAAUGCAAGUUUUAGGUACAAAAUGUGGUGAACCUUGGAUAUGAAUGCUAAAACCAAAGAGUAAUUGAUAGAGUUAUUACAGGCAAGUGACAGCUGUCUGUCUUUCUGUCUGUCCCUCUCCUCCGUGUUGGUUUUAUUUUUUGUCGAUGCAGAACAGUUCUAAUUUGGAGGCCAUCAGCUCGCUAAAUGCACUCUAACUCUUGUUGGCACUGAGGUCACAUAGCCUGCCGAGCACGCUCAUAAACAAAUUAAUUGGCUUGCCAACACUAUUUAUGUGUUGUACACACACAACACCAAAUACACACUUCUUCUGUCCCCGCUGAUAGAAGGCAGGUACCUUUUGGUCUGGAAGGUUGUGAGUAGGUGUAAUACACCAUGCAAAUUAAUACGAUUUCAUAGAAUGAAUACUGACGAAAGGAUAAUUGUAUAAUGUUGUCAGUUUGAAGUAGAAGUCAAAAAUGAUUGUAUGGAAAAGGUAAAAAUGGCAUUUUUCUUUCAUUGGUAGAUAAUAUAUCUUGUGGAUCAACUAAAGUCUGUGUUGUAUUUAGUUUUCUCUACCAUAGAAACGGAUAAUUAAGCCAUGUAUUUGUAAUAUUUUAAGGUGGUGCUUCAUGUAUUCAUCAAAAUGAUAUAAAGUACAGAGCUAAAACAUAAUGAAGGAUAAAAGAGAGGUAUGGCUACAACCAAUCCUGGCCAAAUCUUCCACCUCUUCCUCAGUUCCAUUCAAUGUGCAGGCUGACAUCAAAUCAUUGGACUUCUGGGGUUUUAAAGUGUCCCUUUUUCAGUCCAUUACCUUGUACUGCUAUUUUCGGCGACCAACAUGGGGAGAUUGCCUAAGCUGAAUGAAAGCGAGUCCCAAACCUUUUCAGGGUGGUUCAGCAGGGUUUUAUUCUCAGGGAUUCACAACAGUAUCCUUUCGAGCAGUGCUUCACUGCCACUUGCAGCAGCAGCACGUGUUUAAAUAGCUAGGCAUGAAAUAUAAGAUAUCCCACAGAUGUAAAAAAAAAAAAAAAGGACAAGGUCAUGAGUCCAUAUUACACCCACUUUUCUGUCAUUUUGAUGAUCUGUUUUUUUCUUCCCUCAAAGAACGUAUGGACAGUUUAAGUAUUCUUCAUCUUAGGUCCAAGUACCACUGACAAAAUCCGACAAACAGCAUCAUGGAAAUGGUCCUUAUUCAUGAGCUUCCAGACCAAAAAAAAGGAAACAUAAUGCAGAGGGAGGGCAGAGAGCUCUGUUUUUAUCAAUAUUGGACAUAAAAUUGAAUGUGAAAACAGGAUGAGCUUGUAAGUUCUCCAGACUCAAGAGGUACAUGGAGGGGUCGCACAUUUGUGUUUCGGACCAUUUCCUUCAAUGUCAAUGAAUGGAAGUCUGAAUCGUCCUCGGUGAGGACCUUGUUUACUUGCAACUGCUUCACACAGUUUUUCCUUGCAGCAAGACAGACAAAACACUUCAGAUGCAUUGGGCAAAUAAAAUCUGGAUCAAUAUCUGCUCAAGCAAAUUAGCUGCUUGUUAAACACAUGACUAUUUCACAAAUAAAUGUGUGUCUUCUACAUAAUUUUUUCCCCCUUCUUUCUCAGUGAAACACAUACAAAUAAAGUAUUCACUCUUAGCAUUUAAACCUGCUGUACAGUAGGCUCUGCAAAAACAGAUUAACCUGCAGUUAAGACAGGUCACAGAACGAGGGCAUGAGAACAGAGUCAAGUAGUCAGUCUUGUUCCAAGCGUCAUUUGUAACACACACACCCUCCCACACACACUGCUAUUCCGGCUCGGGGCAAAACGGUUUACAAAAAAACCCGAAAUCUCAGUUGGCAAACACAUUCUUGAUAGGUGCAAGCCUGGUCUUGCUGAAGUAGAAAAACAGCUUGAUAUGGGGAUGAGCACACAUGCACACGGUGUGGUACUGUGGUGUCUCAAAUGGAGGAGGUGCGGUGAGUCUUUUUUUAGACCUGCAAACUGUCUUUAUCUCAUAAAUAGACAAGUUUAAGUGAGCCAACUGGCCACAGGGCUUUGUUACUACACAGCACAAUACAACAGAUUUUCAUUAGUUAUGAAAUACAGAGUGUGUCUGAAUGACAGAGACUUCAGGCAUCUGCAGGACAAAAAGUAUCACACCCCAACACUCAAAAGACUCUGAAUGAGGGUUAGUGGAGCAACCAAACCAGACAGAAUAUUUAUGUUGCUGCAAGCGCCAAAAACUAAGGAAAAUCAAAGACCUGAAUGUUUUAUAAAAGUUCAUUGGAGAAGAACUAUAGAAGAUUUGCAUGUAUAACUCAUGUCAUCCUCCAGAAUAGUUUAGGCCCAUCGGCAAGUGUCUUUCAGUUCAUGCUGGUGGUACAGCACACUCUACGGAGUGCCCUAAAUAAUGUCCAACAUAUAGGAAGUGAAAAACAAAACCUUGAGCUUAAAUAUUUGAACAACUUUUCCUUUAAAAAAAUUUAAACACUAUACAAUUAUCAAAGCACUAGGAUGCAUCUGUCUUUGAAGAGUAGUAAUAAUCAAUUUAAUAAAUUAAAAUUGAUGGCAUCUAAAUUCAUGCAGGAUAUAUGGACUUCUCCAAAGUAUGUUCAUACUGGUAAAUAUUUUAAAGUCGUCUGUUUGCGGGAUAAUCAUUUUGAUUGGACACUGAAGUUAUAAUUUUCAAGUCAAAUUGAAAACAUAACUAUUUUCCAUAAAAUUUUUGAACUGAUACAUUAAAUGUCUGCAGCUUGUCUAUGCCUGUACCAUGUUUUUUUUUUUUGUUGUUAAUUUGUUUGUUUGUUUUGUUUGGUACUCUCUCUUUCAUGUAGCUCCUUAAGUCUUUUAAUAUCUUUUUUUAACCAAAUUUAAAGUUUUCUACUGUCAAGAUGCUUCCCAUGUUGUUUUAACAUGUUGGUGGGAACUGGCAUUUUUACCACAGUGUCAAUAGGCAGAGGUAAAAUCUGCACUUUUUUUCUGACCGAUCAAAACAAGUUUCUAGAGAGAGCUUGGUAUUAAAGGAGAACUUUGAUAUUUCUUACUCUUGCUUUCCUUUCCCAUGUGUUUGUGUUUACUUAACUGGGGAGAACCAACUCUACCUUUUAAAGUUCCUAUCCACUCUAAAUGCUGUCAAGUGUUUCCCUCAUGUGGUUAAAGAUGGAUGGGAGUUGGUCUGAUCUUACAGGAUGGACUCAGUCUGAUCCCAUCUUUACACUGGGUCUUUGUAAUAAGAGUAUAGUGUAGACCAGCUUUUAUGUUAAAGCAGCUGAACAGUGUGCUCAUUUUCCAUUGCGUUUGGUGGCCGCAAUGGACAAAGCAGUAGUGCUUUUCCAGAAUGAUGACUGCAUUUCUCAUGAGCUCUUGUUCGUACUGUCGUGACGAUACAAGGUCUUAGGUCUGGCAUGUGGUUGUUUUGGGGGCGAAUGAAACAAGACAGGACUUACCGAUAGAAUUUUAUUUUAUUUUUUAUUUUUUUGUGACUAUCUGCAGGAUGUGUAAUGUAUAUAUUUGCAUUUCUAUAGAUGAAAUAUAGUAUGCCGCUGGUGAAACUAAGUAAUGUUGUAUUAUUGUGACUUUUAUUUUUAGCCUACAGUUACGUCCCGUUCAUAACAGUAAACCUACAACAGAUUGAAUAACUUGGCUAUAGAUAAGUAUAUAAAGCCAAAGUUGUCAGCUGUCCUUGGUUAUGUUAUUUCUUCAUAUCAAUAAGCCAGCAGUGUAAAAAAGCGCAGCUUACCUUACUAAGAGGAAUUGGGCUAAUUCAGGAUCCAACUUGAAUCCUUUCAAGCCCCACAACACUCUCCAUUUACAGCCUGCGUGCCGUAAAUCAUUUUGUCAGUGGGCAAUGAAUUUUGAAAGUAGGAGCUCCACUAUUUAGAAAUAUCUCAUCUUCCCUGCGAUGGGCUCAUUUGCCGUUGUAGGUGACACAGAUAUAUCAGGAGAAGCGAGAUACUUUUUAAAAUCUAGUUAAAAGUUCCCUACAGAAACAUUAGUGUCUUGGGAUGACACUUGUUGUGAAUUGGCACUAUAUAGUUGAACCAUCACUAUAUAGAUAACCAUCACCUCUAGACGUUUUUUAAAAUUAAUUAAUUAAUUUAUCUAUUUAUUAAUUUAUUUUUACCUAAAGCGAGUCAGAGUAUCUAAAGCUUUCCAUUUUUAAAAAUAGGAGAAGACCUGUGUUUCUGGAAAUGUAUCAUGCACACAAACACACACAUAUAAUUACAGAGCCUUAAACAGUAGUCAAACUGUGUGAAUGUAUGAGGGUUGGCUAAGAAGCUCUUACUUUCUAAAAAUAUUCAAUCAGUCAAGGCCUAAAACCUUAAGUGACAUUCACAACACAAAUUAAAAGAAAUGCACAAACUCUCAAAGACAGCCACUGCAGCUCUGUAUACCCAAUCUGUAGUUGCAAACACACACGCUCUCUCUUUUUCUCUCACACACCCACUCGGAGAGAUUAGACCAUCUGGCACCAUCUCAGUUGGACCUAGGCCGAGCAUUGCUCAUCCUACAACCACUGCCUGCACUGGGCAACCUGGGAAAUACAUGAACACCGCAUUUAAAGUGUAGUUAAUGUAUAAAACAAAGGAGCCAAGCGUGCAUCAGCACACAUGAAUACACAUGCUCCAGGAACCACACGCAGUAUGCAUAAAUGCAUUUAUAAAGUCAAAGAUGCAUUCGUGCCCCUCGCUCCUACAUGUACAUAAAUAGGCCAUGAGAAGUGACCGUACGAACCGCUCGAUAUGAUCCAUCCUCAUAAGGGAGGAGACGAGAGGGUUUUCAUCAAUCAGUGAUAAAUCAAUACCAAGAUGAAAAAGAGCAGCACAGAACACAGCACACAAUCAAUCUCUUUACCUCCAUUUGAAUCUUCAAAGUGUUGCUGUUUAGAGCUCUCAUCUGACCCAACCUAAGCGCUAUGAUCAAGAAAACCACUGUGCAAACUGGACUUUGUUUUCCAGUGAGCACGAAUUCUGCUCAGACAACUUGGUUUGAGCGAAACCCCAAACUGUACUCAAGCUUGCCUAGCUUUGUUUGCUCUCUGUGAUCACACAGCAGAUAGGGAUGAUAGAGAGAUUAUAAGCUAGUUUUUUUUAAAAAAUUUUUAUGUGUUUCAUAAGAGGCUCACAAGAAUACCAAUGCCUCUAACUUAAUUCUUUUCUUCACGGAUUAAGCACGGUUCUCCUCUCUCUGUCUGACCUUUUAUGUGGUCUUUUAACCUUCAGCCACCCUGACACGUAUCAGAAUCAUCUUCACCUUCUUUGCGGUGGCAUAACCCAAACUCUCAGCGUGAGUGUGAUAGCCAUAAACACUUUCUGUGAGGUGGUGAAGAGGAGCAUUUUUCCAUCGGCACUUUGAUUCUCUAGACUGCUUUGAAUAUAAUUAUACAAACAUCAUGCCUCACCUAGGUAUGUGUAGUUGGAUAAGAGGUAUUAUAUGAGUGCCAGAGCUGUAUUCACACAUGCUCAAAACUCUUAAAAACAGACAGUUUUUCUCCCUAACUUUACCUGGAACUUUUCCAGACAACCUUUUAUCAACUUUUUGGCAAAUUUCAGGAUGAGCUGAUGUGGGCACGCAGAAUAACCUUUCUAUAAAAUCCACCACAAAGAAGAGGGCAUGAGGUGAUGACCUUUAAAUCAUGUGGCCUGUGUUCCGUUUUGUUGCUCAUAGAAAAAUGCUGCUGUUGAAUGAAUUGGUUGCAAAAGUUGCCAGCUUUAAAUAUUUUUAAGAGUUGUAUCAUUGCAAGCAGGGAAAAGUUUACUGUAAGCAUGCAUGAAAAUCAGUUAUAUUACCCAAUUUCAGGUUAUUAGAGAAGCGCAUAUCUAUAGACCUGUAUCCGUUUCUAAAAAUGCUCCUGAAGAAGACUGAAUUUGUCAGGAUAACCCUAAGUAUGCUCUGUACGAGUACAGGAGACAUAUUUCUGACUGUGUCUGUAAUGCAAUGUGGAAGAAAACUCUGUGAUACCAAUAUUUCCCCUUUUUAGGGGACAGUGUCUAAGUACAAAAGUGUAAUGAUGGCGAAACUCUUUUCUAGCAUUGUUGUGGGAUGGCAGUGUGUAAGAGGCUCUCGACUGAGAUUUAAUUUAAAUAUGUGCAGAGCUGCUGAGCAGCACAUCUUAAUUGAAAACAUUAUUAGAUAAAGCACUGCAUGUAAAGUGAAGCUGAAAACACAUUAUAGUGUAAUAAAAUAAAGACAUAGUGAGACUGCCUUACACUCUAUUGGCUUUUCCAAUAUACAGUACACACACACACACACACACACACACACAUUUAUUUCCACUCAUUUGUUGACACUGUUGAUAUGCUUAAUAACCUGUCAUGAUGAUGAAAAAGGGAAUAAAUCCCUGUAAAAGCACACAACUCUGCUCCUCAUCUGGCAGCUUGAAGGCAGAUGCUAGCAACAACACAGAGGCUCACACUCAAAGUUAUGUCAGAGGUUGAAAACUAAAUAUAUAGAUGAUUGAAAUGAAUAAAUCAGCAGUUUUACUCUCAGAUACACGAGUAAACUUCAUACUACUGCAGCUUCUUUUGACAUCAUGUCCAGCCUUGUGAGACUCUUGAAAAUUUCAGGGGCAGAGCUCCUGAAAUAGUCAGGUCCUUUUCCACAGUGCAUGUAUGAAACAGCUUUUGCAUCACUUUGUCUGUUGACCAAAUUUUCAUCAAAUGCUUUGUCUGGCAAAAUUCCACCCAGAAAUACAGAAUAAUUUUCUUAAAUAGCACUUGAUACAAACUACUAGUUGAUGCAAAAGAAUGAAGAACUGUGAAGGCAACAUUUGAUUCUCCUCUCAUUCGCAUUUGUUUGCUCAAAUAUUAAGGACGCUUAACCCUUACAUACCCUUCGGGUCAAAUUUGACCCGUUUUGACUUUGAACAGCAGUAAAAAUACCCCAAACAUCAUUUUUUAAGCCUGAAACUUGAUGACUUUUCCUGAAGUUGCCCAAAAUACAUGAAAUUAAUUUAAAAAUAUUCAUGUGUAUUUUUGUUUAUGUGCUACAAAUUUUUCCCCUCUAAGGCUCUUACGGGUCAAAUUUGACCCGUAUCUAUAUUCAGAUGGAUUUUAGAUCUAGCAGUGUGGGACAAGUGACAAACAGUAACAACAGUGUUCAAUAUAAGGUUUGUUGUUCAAAAAGAUAUAUUCAAAUUAUUAUGAAACUAUCAUUACCUUGACAGAAACACACACACACAUGCACACAGACAUACAGUCCCGCAGACACAAUGAGACAGAGGUCAAGAUGACCUAACCAGUCACAAGAACUUUCUGUGACAGAAAGCUGCUCUUUGAACUCUUUGAAGGGGCAGGGGGAUCCUAAAAUAUAGAAAUAGUAAACAAACAACACAUGAGUGAUCAAAGAUGGAGAACAAAGGGAUCAGAAGUCAUCCGGAUGUCAGAGUGUGCCUUGACACAGAUGUAACAUGUGCACCUGCUUCUGCAAUAUAAUGUACAAAGUAACAAAUUGGAAUAUGUUUGAUUGGGAGGGAGGCAGUGGGAGUUGUAACUUUAUGAGAGUACAGAGAGCGGCCAUUUCACUCGCAAAAACAUGUGCAAGCUCCACACAUGUAAAGUGUCCUACCUUUGCUUUGAAUGCAGAGACUAGCAGUGAGAACAGCGACAAACAGUGAGAACAGUGUUCAAUAUGAAGUUUGUUGUUCAUAAAAAUAUAUUCAAAUCAUUAUGACUUUUAUAUUUUUAUGUUUUACAUAACAUUAGAUGACAUUAUAUUUAUGACGUUGACGUUUAUACUGAUGACGUUUAUACUGAUUUUAUACUUUUUUCUCCUUUUUCUCUAUUCUAUUUUAAUUUUUGCUCAGCUAAUGCUUUUCAAUUGCCCCUAGGUGAUGAAUAAAGCUAUAGUGAAUUGAAUUUAAUUGAAUUGAAUUAUCCCAUGUAAUAGAUGUUCUUCUCCAAAAUAUAUGUAUUUCACCAAAAAACGAGUGGUGUUAAAACUGAAAAAAUACACUUUCCCUGCUCUUUGAAACAUUUAGGAAGGACUAAUCAAUAAUUUUUUGAAGUAGCAGAGGUCAUUUAAACAUUAUGAAUAGGUUUGGGGUUAGAACUUUGGUGAAAAUACUUGCUACAUGGGCAAUUCUUGGUCUGGGUCAAUUUUGACCCGGAAGGUACUGUGAGGGUACAGGAUUUGAAGAGUGCGUGAGGGUUAAGCUUUGGUAACACUGCAAUUCACAGAAAGUUGCAGAACUGGCUGGGCCAGUGAAUCAUGAACAAAAAUACAUCUGUUUAUGUCACGAGACUUAAAUUAAUAUCAAUCCUGUGGUUGUGCAGUCAGUGAACGGCAGUAUAGGUGUGGUUACCUUAGCCAUGUUUACAAGUGCAAAAUUUCUUGAUCCGAUUAAAAGUUUGAGGGAUUAAAUAACCCAAAUCCAUAUGGACGCGUAAUCAAAUAAUCCGAUCAUGACAUGCGUAUACAUGCACCAAGAUUUUAUUCAGUUUAGAAGCAUUUGGACAUGUGCAGAGUUGUCUAAUUUCGCUGAAACGCAGAUUUUGUGCCACACCGAUAAUAGUAAUCCUAUCAAUAAGAACAGCGGCAGCAAAAAACAGAGAAAUUUUGUGUUUUUGAAUUCAAUUGAAAAACUCUGUUUCUGAAGAUGAUCGUGGCUCAAGGUAACCACUCGAAAUGGAAUACAGAACAUUUAAUUUACUACUCCGGUCGUUACCAUGGAUUUGGUGUCCAGCUUUUUGGACACAGCAUUUUCCUUGCAGCUCUUAAAAUAACAGCAGAGGAUACUGCUGGGAUAAUCUCUGCCUCAAACACACAUUAAGGCAUGUGCAUGCAGCCCACAACAAGCCCUACAUUCAAAUUCAAGGAUGAUAAUGUGGGAGUCUUUUUUUUUUUUUUUUAAUUGGGGUGAGUUCGUCAGAUUGACAGACAGGAAGGGAGAGGAGAAAAAGAGGAGCUUUUAGCUUCCCGUCCUCUUUCAGACAACCCUCAGGAGCGUCCAGACAAGAAGGUAUUCAGUGCUAAAUCCCUUUAAUCUCACACAUCAAAAAGCAACUCACUUCCAGCACUUAACCAUCUGAAACUACUGAAAAAAAGCCGGGACCUGCAGUUUCAUCUUUCCAACAAAACAUGGAAAGUUUUUUUGGCAGUAACUUUGGGAAGCUAUGGUAAUAUACAUGUUUGUUUGAUAUUUUUGUCUCUCUCUAAGACACUUUCUCAAGGCCAUAAGAAUACUCUCUACCUCUACACCUGCACUGUUAAAUGUACCUUUUUGCUGUCUUAAUACGCUCCACUCCACUUGUUUUCUCCUGUUUGCUUUCAGAUUCAGUUUUUCCUCUGUUCCUUAUCAAAGUCCUCGCCUCCUAAUAUCAUUCUCUGCUCACCCAUUCCACUGCAGAUCAUGAAGCAGACGAUACCGCCACACCCCCGAGCUUUUGUAAUACAGGCGAGUCAGUCAAAUGGAUAAAUUAGUGUCCCUGCUCCUGUCCACCUCCCUAUUGGAGGUUAUCUCCUCGCUGCAUCACACCAACAUGCAUCAUGUUUGAUGGCUGCGGGCGGCUAUUCAUGUCAACUCAAACCCACCGCCGAACAACCCCGGCCUCUGAGCCAUCAAUCAUGGCAUCCUUGCACAAACACAUGCAAUACGUCGUCAAACAGUGAAAGCAUGUCUAUACAUUCAUAAUGGAACACAUACACUCACACAAGUAAUUUUUUUUUUUAGCACACAUUAACAAAUACAAGCCUUCUGGCACACAAUAAUGCAAAGACGCUACACAAAGGUCUUCAAUUUACGAUCAACUGGUGCCAAAUUAGCCAAGUGAUAUUGCAUCAUAUUGCAGCAGCCAAUGAAACAGUCGGUCAGUUUGCUUUCAAAUAAAGACAACAGAGGAAAGCCAGGAGAGAUUAGGCGUCACUUAGAUGAAGGAAUGAGCAGCGACAAACAUGUCAGCCAAUAAGACAGCUCAGCACGUGUCAAGAUGACUGAAACAUUUUGUAGUAUAUGGGAUUUCAGACACUCCACAUAAAGUUACAACAACACCAAAUUAAGGUUAGCACUGACUCAUCAUGACUGGGUUAGGCUGCAGCCAAUAAAAAACAACAAAGUCGUUACAAAGCCAGAUUUUCCACAUCAAUUUAAAGCCAUUUUUUUUAAUUUAAUUGAACAAAAAUAAGUUACUUUAAAAGGAAAAUGACUACAGAAUACAAGCAUAAAUUACUUUCAAAAAUCCAGCCUAGCAUGAAAAAGAGUGGAAAAAUAAUAUUCAAAAUCCCUUAUUGCUUUUUCCCCUAACCCAUUGGGAAUCCACGCAGGUAAAUGCAGUCUGUCCCACAGCUCUUCAGUAUUCUUUCCAUAACCCAAAACACCCCAAAAUUGAUAAAUGCAGUAAUAAAAACACAGACCUGAAACACACCACACCUCUGAAGAGACAGCUUUUACCCUCAGGCUGCUAGGGCUGUAAACAGCAGUCUGACGCGCUCCUCUGUUGUUCUGCAGUUUGUUGUUUUUAAUGUCCUCUGAAUGUCCUCGACUGUCUUCUCAUUUAUUUAACGCACUUGUUUAGCCAUAAGCAGAAUUUUUAAUGUAUCCAACAAAGUAAAACAAAUACAUAUCACAGUCAUAUCAAUGAUGUCUGUGUUUGCCCAGUGACCACUCAGCACUGCAAACCAACGUGUCUCCUCAACCCUCCAACGCAGGUAUUCAGUCCAUUUCAGAGAUCAGUGCUGAAUAUUUGUUAUAUUAGUCCACACACGUAUAGACCUCAGAUGGAUUUAGGAUUUAAUUUCCCAAACGCAGAGAGUCAGUAAUACAGUGACACUUGACACCAUAUUUAUUUUCUCCCUAAAUAAUGGUUGUCUUCAGGGAAUCCAGGGAUAAUGUUUAUCCACAUAAACUGAAAAUGAGCUCAAACUGCCAAGUGAUUACAUUUAAACGACACAGAAAUCAGAAAGCAAGCACAUCAAAGAUUUCUCAAAGAACAAACCGAUGUGAAAGAUAGAAGUAUGUAUGGACAUUUGGCUGGCUGCAGAUGUUGUAGUAUGUUUUGUAGUAUGUGGUGCCUGUUGGUGUAUUUAAACCAUUGCUUGUAGUCCCUUCUUCGAAAAUCUCACUGGACAUGACUUACAAACCGUAUGUCUCUGAUCUUUCACAGAAACGCUGUAAUACUCCCACACUGCUGACAUUUUCUCUAAUGUUUGACCAUGAAAAUAAAUUAGAGCUGACUCUUUCCCCAAACCCUCCUCUCUGAACCAGCAUUUAGGCAUAUAGCUUUUUAGCAUGAAAGUGAUGUGAAACAACAGCAUGGUAACAGUGCAUGGCACAUCAUUUGCUCCUGGGCCAGAGCCUGUCAACUGAGCAAUCGUUCCAACUCAUACCUGUGUGUGUGUGUGUACAUAUGUAUAUAUAUGUAUAUAUAUAUAUAUGUAUAUAAAUGUAAAUAUAUAUAUAUAUAUAUAUAUAUAUAUAUAUGUAUGUAUAGGGAGUGUGAAUCACCAGUGGCUCCACAAUUGAUUUUAUCACGAUACUUGGGCCACGAUACAAUAUUAUUGGGAUUUUUUACAUUUUGCAAUACAGUGAGUGUUGUGAUAUAAUAUAUAUCGCAAUUGAUAAAAUUUUUCAACUAUUUAGCUUAUUAAGUAUUUGUCUUUUUUUUGUCUUAUUUACAUUGUAUUUAUAUGAGCACAUCUCGCAAACUUUUUGUUUAUUUGUUGUACUAACUUUCUCCUGCUUUAUGGUGUCACCUCUGCCAAAAUCACUUGACAGUUGAUUUUAUUUUUUCAUGAUCAUAGAUUUGACUUCACAUUAGCAAUUAAUUUGGAAAUAACUGGUCAAUGAGAUGAUAUGAUACAGCACUAGACAAAAUAUUGCGAUUCUAUGCUGUAUUGAUUUAUUCUCCCAUCCCCAAUACAUAUAUUUAUCCUGUUUUACCAACAGGAAAGGCCUGUUUUUAUGUCUUGGGAUGAAAACUAGGACUUUCAUUGAGCCACUAGAAUGAAGAAGAAAACUAAAGAUACAGCAAAUAUCGUUGCCAGACAGAGUCCUGUUUUUUGGUAAUCAAUAAUGGUUAUUGUAAUAUACUGUUUAUUUAUAUAAAGUUACAAAAGCAUCAGCUCAGCUUCUCUUACUUGCUGGCCUCAUGGUGGUGCAAUGCCUAAUAGAAAUAUAGUUCCUGGUUUAAAACCUCGGCCAAGCAGGAGCCUUUGAGUGGAAUUUAUAAAUUCCUGUUGCAUGUGGGUGGAUUCUCUUCCUCCUACAGUCCCCAGACAUGCAUGUCAGGCUAAUUUGUGACUCCAAAUUACCCUGUAGGUGUGACGGUGAACGUAUAUGGUCCCCGUAUAAGGCAUGGGCCUUAACCACCCCUGCAGCUCUGAAGGUGAUAAGUGGCAUAGAUUAUGGAUGGAUAUUGAUGGGACAUAACAAAGGUACCAUGAUUGAAAUAUGGGUGGUAGUCCAAAAAACUGUCAGCAAUAAGACACCAAUUGUCAAUAUGAGAUUCAGUAUAAUGUUAUUAAGAAUCCACAGAAUUUUUUUACCGUCAAGCUACUGCAUCUGCAUCUGUUAAAAUGUAAAAGUACUUCAUAAUGAGAUGUCAAUACUUCUGUUUUGUUUGUACUUAGAAAAAAAGCCAUUAACUUCAAGGAAACGCUGUUGCCAACCUAGCAACUGUGUCGUUAGAUUUAGCAACUUUUUAGACCCCCCCAGCAAUUUUUUUUGCGUCGCUAGAUUUGGAGUUGAGAGACUCUGAUAUGAAAGCAGGUAUCGAUGUUACUCUUCCCAACAAGUCGCAGGUAAACACCAAAAACAAACACCGUGGAAGACUCCUCCUCUGACUUCUACAACAGCCAUUAGUGACUUUCCUCACUGAGAAGUUAGCAACACUGGAAAGAAAAUGUCCAUUAAUUCAACCACCCAAUGAGAACAUAGUUGCAUACACCUGUAAAACCUGUCAAAUCUCAGGAACUACUUUUAUUUUAGAUUUCCAUUCACAUAUUUUAAAACGAUAAAACUAUCUUUGAAUCGUUACUGAAGCCACCUUGUUUGUAUGUUCAGUAAAACGUCAGGAAAUAAGCAGAAAAUGUACAGUAAGUGAGUGAGUGGUUAUGCAAAAUAAGACUAACAUAUUUUUACUUUGUGAUUAUAUAAAAUGUGUAAGUUAUGCAUCCUCUGGGAUUCAUGUGAGACUAUUCUCUAAAAAGAUUCAAUCUUAAACUGUUAAAGCAACAAAGAUGAACUGAGCAUCACUGUAAUGAUGCAAUCUGAUCAGAGAAGAUGAUACAAAUGUGUAUGGAUCAUUAACUACAGCAGAUCAAAUAUCCAGCUGAAAAUCAAUAAGUCAGAUUGAGAGAUCACGUAGAGAAGAAAGCUGUUCUAUGAUACAGCCUGGCUCUGUGUCACAGGAAUACAACCGUGUGAUUAGUGAGUUGUCACACAUUGUCUUGAGCUCCAUGCACAUCUUCCCCUGUGGACCCAUGUCCAUGUCCCCAGGCUGAGUGUCACUCCAAGUCACCCCUCCCAUCGAUUAAAGCUUGAUGGUCAUAAAUCAUCACAGUCAACAACAAAAAAGGAUAAAGCUCCAAAUGCUAACUCCUGAGUUUAUGUGCAUCUAUGAAAGGUUAGAGCUUGUCUGUGAGCAAUGGUUUUCUCCUUUUAUUUCACAAGGGGCUCUGUCCAUAACAACUGAGGUACUGAGUUUAUAAUCACUCUCAAAGAUCUAUGCUCUGCUUUCACUCCUCUUUAUAAAGAUUUGGCCUCCAGGAAAGAUUCUCCCUAUCACAUUCAUCGACAGUCUGAAAAGCUAUUGUUAAUAAUUGCAUUUGAAUGUCCCCUUAUUAAUACAGAUGAAUUAAGCUGCUGAACAAGGGGAAAAAAAGACACACAGGCCCAGACCAAGGACAAGGUGCUGAAAGAUGAUGGAAAAGUAAAAGAAAAAACACUGCACACAAGUGUCACCUCUGAAAGGAGACUUGAUGCUUGGCACAGUGUAUCGGCACAAUGGGAUAUAACUGAGUGGCUGUAAAAGGAAUAAAAAAAGACCUGUAAGCUGUGGAAAUAAUAGGGCUUGAACAAAAAGAGACAUUGGAAACAGGAAAAUGACAUCUGUAUGAGAGAGCUUCAAAAAAAAUCAGGCAAGUCGUCAGGAAGCAAUAUGAUUUAGGGAUGACCAUAGACUGUAUAUAGAAUGGACAGAGUCUGCCUCCUCGCUGGCCACUCUGAGAACAGCACCCUCUGUUGAUGGACUGCAGUAUAGGUCAUAAAUCCCGCCCCCGCCAGCAAAGCCUAUGGGGCUGUGGACCAACUUUGGAAAUUUAUUACACAGAACAUACAUUUUUCUCCCUCCUGCUUGUGAUGUUGACAUGUAGUUAUUGUAAGACUGGUUUGUGUUCAAGUCUUCUUUUUUCUGUGAAGCUCCAUUUUUAAAAGUUAUUAGGGGGUUCAUGUUUGCUAUGAUUGACACCUGAUACAGCCUAUGGGCGUUCAGGGAUUGCGUAGCUCUCCCGGGGGGAUACGCUGAAAAAUCGCAGAAAAACCGGGAGCCUUUUUGGCUUCAAAUCCGUAUACAGGCGGGAGGCGGAACCAAGUUGUCCAUAGUAUAUACAGUCUAUGGGGAUGACAGAACAAGUGAUAUAAAGAGAGGGGUGAGGGUCCGAUAAAUCUGAUUAUAAUAUUUGUUUUUCUUAUCAGAAGCUGCCCCAACUUCUCCCACACCCUCAACUUCCCAAGCCUCCUAUACCAACUGUAUGCUGUAUGUUUCAAUCAGGGCGAGACAGCACAUAGCUGUGGUUCUUUGUAGAGGACAUAUGAGCACGGCCUUGAUGGGUUGGACUGUCUGUCAUCUGGUGUAAUGUGACUAAAUGUGUAUGUCCUUGUAAAGGCAAGUAGAGCUGAAAAAAAAAGAGGCAGCUUCUGUUUGGACUGAUGAUUUUUAUUGAUUGUGUGGUGUUUUUUUUUUUGUGUGUUUGAACAUCCUUAAAGCCUCUUCUUCUUUUCUUUGGUUGUGUCCUCAGUCCCUGGUAUGUUAUAAAAGUACAUGCGUGUGUUAAUUGUUUUUUGUGAGUUAGGAUAUAAGCAUAGCCUCCUGCCAUUAUAUGAAUUUGAAGCCAAAUAUCUCUCUGUAUUUCUGGGAUUUUUUUCCAUUUCCUGAAACCUGCAUUUGCACAGUAGCGUUCAGCAGGAGAAUCGCUGUGACUCUUGGCUUAAACGGAAUAUGCCCAGAUGUCCUUAGCAAUCUUUUUUCACCCAUUGACUGCAUGUCAAUCAUAGAAGACAUGUCAUUUCCUGUUUUUAAUAACCCCUAAUCAGUGCCAAGGACCACCUCUAUGAACUUAUGAUAUCCAUAGACUAUAUAUAGAAUGGACAGCAUCUGCCUCCUUGCUGGGUGAAGCCAAGAACAGCAGCUUUUGGUGACGGGCUGCAAUUUAGGUCACAAAUCCCGCCUCCUCCAGCAAUUCCUAUGGAGCUGUGGACAAACUUUAAAAAAUAAUUAUACAGAAUAUAAAUUUUUCUCCCCUGUGGUUGUGAUGUUGAUAUGUAGUUACUGUUGAACUGUAUUUUCUGUUCAGCUCCAUUUUUAAAAGUUAUUAGGGGGUUCAUGUUUUCUGUGAUUGACACUUGAUACAGCCUAUGGGCAUACCAAGAUUGCGUAGCUCAACCAGGGGGUAUGCUGUUUGAGCAUGACGACUUGCCAAAUGCGUACAGUGCUACUGCGCAAGUGGUGGUUCCAGGAGAUGGAGAAAAUCCCAAAAUACAGAGAGCGAUUCAGCUUCAAAUUCGUAUCAUGACGAAAGGCAAAGCCAAGUAGUCCAUAGCAUAUACAGUCUAUGAUGAUAUCAUGUUUGCUAUUUUUAAGCAUAGUAUCAGUUUUUUAUAAACCAGUAAAUAUGGUUAUGGUCAAUAAUAUUGCGACAGCCCUACAGUCUGAAGUACUCCUCUGUUGGUACAACACUUGUGUUGCAUAGAUGGACCUCCAAGCAAAUUUAAAAUCAUUCACUCCUAGAUUUAAACAUGCACCAGUCUCUCUGUGUAUCAAAUUCCUGGCACACAUGUCAGGAAAUAUGCACAUUAAAGGACAUUAGGACCUGUGUUUGUUAUACAUUUUAAUAUAAGGGCUCUCCAUCUUCUUGUUUCAGUAUCUGCAGUGAUUCAUUACUUCACAACAAGGUGAGAAAUUAAAAACAGAACCUGAGGAGACGAGUCCCCGGGGAGGCUUAGAAUGUGCACAAGUUAGGUGUUCUGUUUACUUAUAUGCUAAUUCCUGCCCAUGCUUAAGCCCACACGUAAAAUGGAUUUUCUGCAUCCAGCUAUUAAAUAAUGAGCUCUUACCAUCCAGCUGUUCCCUGUCUUAUUUUCCACUUGCUCUCAUGUUCGUGAGUAUAUCUCUUGUUUACGCCCUGUUUACUCACUUCUUAGCUUUUUGUGCUACUGAAACAAGUGAUCGCUAUCGGUGAGGAAUAUUUAUAUUUUAGUACUUGCUUGAUUACUUGUUUACUUGAAUUUCACCACAUUUUACCCAAUUGUUGGUACUCUUUUAUCCCCAGAAUGCCAGAUUAAGUUUUAUAAUCUGAAAGACGUAUUUCUGCCCUGAAGCUUAUUCAAAACCAAAGGUGAAGCUCUUUGAAAUUCAUGUUUAUUAAUCUGAAAAACAAAUCAGUAAUAUUGAUUGCUGAGAGUUUUGGGGGUUUUGGUUCUGACAAGGGAAAUUAUUGCGGCCAAGUCUAAAAAUUCAGUCUGAAAAUGACAAUGCUCCGUUUUUCAUAUGAGCAAAUUUUCUUUACAUUUGACACUGACGUAUGCAGUGACAGAAUCAUGGUUUACAAAAAAAGAUACACGUUGAGGAAAGGUUUAGUGUUUCAUACAUACUUGCUGUAAAUCCUCCUGUGACGUUUGCUUAAUUAAAAAAAUGUUCUUUUUCUGUCUAAAAGAGGCUAAUCUGUACACUAAAGACAUACAAAACUGGGUAAUUGUGCUUCUAAAUGCAUGACGCAUCAAGUUUAUCCAUCUGCCCUGCAUUUUUUUAAAUGUCUCAGGCUGUAGUGUGGGUGGCAAAUACCAUAUGGGAGACAGUUUUAAAAUAAGGUAUAUUAGAAAGGCACAGGAGAAAAUCUGUUAACCUCACAGUGAUGACUGGAGUCCACAAGACACAGCUGUGAAACAAGGGAUUUAACAGCACAGACUUCCCCUGAACUACUGUAGAAAGCAUCAAGAGGAGGCCGGGAUUUGUCCCCACAUCGUUUUAGGAGGUCUUAAGCUCUUCAUAGCUUCUUGUUCUCACAGAACCCAGCUUUCUUACAACCCAGCAGCCUCUCUGCGCUGUAAAAGAGGACAGCAUCCACAGACUACAAAAGCCCCAAGAAAGACUGUCUGCAGGAUGGUGACUUUGUUUUCUGUAAGCAGUAGUCACAGCUUUUUCUCGGUGGCUUUGUCUUUAUCACUCAAGCUAAUGCCUCUGCUGCAGCUGCCUGCCAAGCAAGUCACAAAGCUGGGCAGCAGCUUUAACAGUUAAAGUCAGAGCCUGCCUCUGCCUGGUUUUCCUGCAAUUUCAGCUCAAGUUGUGGACUACAAAUCAGCUUCGACAACAACUGCAUGUUACAUUGGGGAAAACAACUCACAAUGCUCUGUGCAUACUGUAUACAUAGAGAAAAGUUGUUCAAAUUCUGCUCUUAAACUUCAAUUACAAACCAGUUUUUGAUAGUUUACUCAAACUCACACUCUCCUGGUGUUCAAAGGUAUCAGAAAAGAGGCCUGAGGAGCUGCUGCAGGUGACAAAGAAAAGGAAACUUCACCCAACACACACAACCUCUGGUGUUAUGGUGAGCUGUUUCCAGACAAAACAUUUCAUCAUUUUAAAUAUUUCAUGAAAUACAAACAUAUUUUUACAAUAUUCCAAUACUAGAUUACAUGUUUUUAGCAUUAAGUGGUUUUCUUUUUCCUUUGUUUGUGUGUUUCAUUUUGCAUCAUUUUGCAUUACAUUUCUGUAGUGCUUUCUAGUGUUAGCAUCAUUCGCACACAUCUAUGGAAGCCUCCAGUGAAAGGCAUGUUUCUGCCUUUCACCAGCUGCAGUGCUUUUGCCAACUAACCCUUGACACCCAGUACUUGAGUGAGUUUAUAACACUGUUUAAGGUUGUAUAAUUUUCAUUUUGAUCCCUGGCAGUUGGAUUGUAAAAAAGUUGAGUAGGUGGGAGAUGCAGAAAAUGCUUUUUCAGUGGUUCAUACAUGGAAAUAAAUAAAAUGUGCACUUAUCUUUGGAUUCAGUUAUUCCUAAAUGUCAAAAAAUGGUUUGCAUUUAGUUUGAGGAAUCUACGUCAGUGUUUUGGCAGCUGUGCACAUUUGUAGCUGCAGACAGUUAAAGGGAGUCAGAGUUUUAGGAAGCUGGAUCCUGUGGGCUGGUGUCUCAUUUUCCCACCUACCUGGUCUGGGAUGCUGUUUGCUGAAAGUUGUGGAAAGGACAAAAAUGGGAGAAUUUCUGGGUUUAUCUACUGUUUCUGUCUUUCUGAGGAUACAGCCCACUGUUGUUCAGGGGACAAUUCAACUUCAGUGACUCAGCAGCUGCUGUGGGCGGUAAAGAAACAAUAUGCAGCACCAGGAGCUGUCUCACAAAACAUAUUAAGGAUAAAAGGAGCUUCUUCUUUGCCAAGUUGGAAGAAACUCCAAUGUGUUUAGGAAGAAAAAACUUUUUUAAAAGACUAAAUUGCAAAGCGGUGGCUGUUGCACUAGCUGGGCAGCACAGCUUGUGAUGGAGCUUUCUGGGGUGCAACAGAUGCCAGAAGCUGGACCAUAAAAACUUUGUAUUUUAUAAUGUAUUACUAUUAAAAGGAAGAUUAAGUGUUACACAUAAGAUGAAAACAUAUGCCAGAUACUAUAAUUGAGUCUUGUUCACUUAAAGAGUUUUUCAGCAAUCUAAAAUUAAUGCUCUUCCCUCUUUAUGACCUACAAAAGCAAACUGUUAGUGACAAAACUGAUGAUUUCUUGGUAGGUAUUUCUGAUGGUUAAAGCGCUGCCAGAAGAAAGCAGUCCCUUUUUCUUUUUUUCUCCUUUUUUUUGUAUUUUAUAGUUAAUAUACACAACAAGUUUACAUGUCUAUUUUAAAAGACAACAUUUUUUUUUUUGUUAAAAAAAGCCUACCUAUACCACAACCAGAUAGGCUCAUCAUAGAGAUGAGAUGCACAUGGGGGUUUGAAGUUCCUUAAAGGAGCUUUAAAUCUCACAAUAAUGCUCUUUGUUCUCAACCAACUGAAUCCUUGCCGAGUUUUACACCAGGACACUUAAGCUUUGGCAUCCUGCCAUCCUGUAUUUGUUCUGCCAUGUCAAAUCAACACCACAUGACACACACAAUUAAUCAUCAAUAUGCAAACACCUGCAAACAUGCAUGUACAAAAACAGAAACUUGUACCGACAUGUUCAUGUAGUCACGAGUUAAGACAUGCAUCCUCACACACACUCUCCCAGAACACCAGACUGUAUCAUCAACUGCUUUGGGUUUCACUCAGCCUGUCUGGUAGCUUAAAAGCUGGCACUCUCUCUUCUUUUGGUAGAUCACCAUGGAAACCAACAAUGCCUGCCUGACCUGCUUUUGAGCAGGUGCAGGAUCGAAUAUAUAGCAUAUGAACCCUCUGCCAGCUUAUCUGUCACCCUCCUGUAAACAUGUGCACUUAUGUCUGCAUGGACAUAAUGAUUACUGUGUUCAUGUUUAUGUGACAAGUGUGCACUGGAUGACCUGAGCCUGUGGACAGCUCAGUUUUCUAAUGAGCAUUUUGACCGCAUCAUGAGGGGUGAUAUUUAAGUACUACAAGGGAUAAUGCAAGUAUCAGGGAAUUAUUAAAUCACAGGGAAACAAAAGGUGACUGUUUAUGUUUUACAAUUUCAGCAAUUCACAGAUGUAGGGAUGAUGAAACUGUAAACAUAAAGUGUCCAUUUUUACGUGGUUACACAGAACUAGCCUAAUAGAUGUGGCCCAUUACUUUCAUAAGAUUGUGUCUGAAGUAGUGGCUGACAACAGAUUUCUAUCCAUUAGACUAAAAAGCUGUUAGUUUACCUACAACUAUAGUCACUGAAAAAUAUUGAGUCCAUAUUUCUUGGGCAGACACACAAUGCAAUGAAUUUACUGCCCUCUAAAUCAUGUAGAAAUAUAGCAGGAUACACCUGUCAGCUAAAGCACACAUCACCUAAAUUUAUUCAAUUCAGGUCACUUAUAAAAAAAAUAAAAGAAUCACCCCCUCAAUAAAGUUGUAAAGAGUGUAAAAGAAACAGGAGUUGAUGUUAAGACCAUGAUUUUCAUCAAGUUACAAACAUAUUCUAAAUAAGGCAUUUUCAAAAAAAGGCAUAACAGGAGAUUUAUUUUUCAAGAUAUUUAAAUCAAAGUAGGUUCACUCAUCAAGAUAAGUUAUUUUCUUUUCUUUUACAGUUAAUCUAUUACUGUCAUUGUUGACUGGUUAUUAGUUGUAUUGCCUUUAUUUCUCUUCAUUUAUAGCUCUUUAAAGAUGUCAGCACCAAGGUCAGAGAAUUAUUUCCUUCUUAUACUAAUUUGAUCAUAAGGUAGACAAGUGAAAACUCUCACAUGUAUUUACAGGUAAUUGCAUUUAAUAAAAUGUGUUUUCAUGCAAUCUGCUGUGUACAUAGUUCAAUUCCAGUGGUGCAAUUACAAUUUGUGUGUUUUAUCUCUCUGGAUCUCCCUUUCAGCUCACGCAUCGACCUAAUUUCCCCUCAGGGAUAGUCACUUUUAUCUCAUCUCAAAUUAAACAUGCUGCUCUUGAUCUGUUGAUGUUGCAUAUGAUUGCAAUUACAUGUGAGCACGGUGAUAGCUGGAUGGGUUAACUUCAGGUUGAUGCAUACAUCUGCCAACCGUCUUUCAGAAACCAGUCAUACAGGAUCAUUGGUCAGAGGCACAGAUCCCGGAUUAACUUCUUUGGACAUCUUUUUCCUUUAUUGGAGAGAACAGACGCAGAAAGACGGGAAAGUUGUGAAAUAUAGAGUCGGAGAGGACAUGCAGUAGAUGAUUGUUGUCAUGGUUGAACCGGUGACCACCUUGACAUGGACUAAAGCUUCUACAUGGGGCAUAAACUCAAACUGUAAUAUAUUCUAUCUAUUUUGCUCUCUCAAAAUGAUCCAAUCUGAGGUUGCAAAAAGAAGUGUGACUGCCCAGUAGGAAAGCUUUACACAGCCUCUCUUAAAUAUUCUAUGCUUUUCAUUGGCUUCAUAUUUAGAGACUGACUGAUUCCAAUGGUUGUCAGCACCUGUCCACUUUUUUAUGCUUAUUCAGUCCAGGCAGACACACACCUGGCAGCUACUCAGGUCAUGAUCUUUCCACUAACCUCUUCACCGGCCAACCAGAGGUCAUCACUAAUGAGUGGCAGGUCGGUCGAGUGGGAGGCCAAGUCAGCCCAAGGUCUGUGUGACCUCCCGUUAACACAAACACAGCUCCGCCAAUGCAGCUUAACUUGCCAAUAGGGAGGCCAAACCUUUGAUGUUGUGCCUGAUUAGAGGGAAUUAAAAAAGAAUAAAAAUUAAAAAGAAAAAAAAAGGGGCCUUGAAAUGUGGAGCGAGGAGUGUGUGUCUGUGUGGGUGAAAGGGAGGAUGAAGGUUGUUGAUAUUGGGUAAAGAGGUUUAGUGCAGGUCGAGUCACAGCAGGAACAACACACACACGCGCACACACACACACACACACACACACACACACACACACACACACACACACACACACACACACACACACACACACACGCGCACACACACACAAAAUACAGGAGUAACUGCCAGUCAUGUGCUGGUCUUGACUCUGCUCUCAGUCAGUACAUUUAAAUAAUGAUUGAUGUAUUUCAUAAACUGUAUUUGUGUGUGUGAUGUUUUUGGAAAACACAUCUAUGCAGGCAACAAAGGCUGGACAUAUACACUUCAAUUUCAGACACACUUUUUUCUCCUUUUAAUGUGGGAAGUCAACUGACCAGUAAACUUGUCGAAAAAAAAAAAAAAAUAGAUGUAUUUUGUUGUGUUAUGGUAUCUUCCCCAGAUGAUGGUGCUAUAAUGACUCAAGCUAAUUUGCUGGUACUGACUGUUCACCCAUGUUCACAGUGUAUUAAAGCUCCUAUGGGGAGUUUUAUGAUGUUCAUAAAAAAGACUCAAAUUUAUAUUGAUGCUGUCUCAUGAUAUCCAAUAGCUAAAACUACCACCGGGAACAAGAUUUGUGAUUUUUUUAUAUCCUGGUGUUACAUACCUUCAACUGGUACAAGGUGGUAGGCAUCAGCCAAUCGGGUAAAGAAACAGCCCCAUUUUUACACAACCACACAAUUCAGUCACAAUAAAUGAUGCAUUGGACUGUCAAAAGUCAGCAGGACAAGUUUUUUUUGUCAAAGUUACAAAGGACAGUGGGGAGCCAAGAUAAACACAAAAUUUAAGUUCUUUACAGGAGCUUUAAGAGGCUGCUUCAUGCCGGAGUCCAACAAAGAGCGGAAGUGGCACUUUUUAACAACUUGUCUCUAUUAUGAGGUAUUAUCAGAUAUUCAUAUAACUGUGAUCUGAGAUCAAGAUUGCAAACUCUGCUAGGUACAAACAGAUGGCACUGAAAAGAGGGCCACUGCACAAACGUUGGACUUUCUGGACUUUAAUGAUUAAAAAAAAAAGCUGUCUCUAAGAACACUGUUAAAACCCCAUGAGAAACCCCCUUAAACAAACCGUGUCUAAUACUGGUGCAGCUUCUGUGAUGGAUUUUUCUGCAGAAAGAUUUCAAUACACCCUUUUUCUUCUUCGUACACAAUCAACCGAACCUCACCUGAUUGCUUCAUCAUUCUCUAUGCUUUCAUUUGUUUCUCACCAUGAAAUUCUGAGCGCAGCGCAACACGGGACUAAGUCACUCGGCACACACACCCAUAUGUACACAUCAACAACGCUGUCACAUUGUUCCUAAUGUUUCUUGCAGUGAUUUCAAACGUCACUCAGACUACAGUAUGUUUUACAUUCCAGAUGAGACUAAAGAUCAAAUCAGAGUAAAUUGACUUGCUGUGAUUGAGUUUACUUUGUGUCCUUCCUCCUUUGAUUUCUCUGUCUCUGGGUGUCCCUCGCUCUGUCUUCAAAUGCUCUUUUUUUCUUGCAGAAUCUCUUUCUGCUUCGCUGCCUCUGCUUCAGCAAUGGGGCUUUGCACACUCACUGUUUACUUUUCAGACACACACACACGUACGCAGUCACACACAAAUACAACGUCUACUGGCUGAAUGCCAGGUAGCUAUGCCAACAGUCAACAAUGUAAUGGAAGGGUGUGUGAGCAUGUGCGUUGACAUCUUUAUGAGCUAUGAUGGCUGGAAUUACCACUUUGACACAGUGACAUAAUCACUCGCUCACUCACAUAUUUACAUGCACACAAGCAUAUUGCACAUCGAUUUGGAGCACAGCAGUCUUUAGUGUCUGUGCAAAUGUUAGAUCACAAAAAAAGGUUACUGAAAUGUCACAGACUUUAACGACUAUACUAAAAUUGAUGCAAAAUUCAGUUUGAAAAAAAACAUAAAACAAACUCUUUUUAUUGAGGAAAAGCUCACUCAUUAAAAUGAGUGUCUAGUAAAUAAGUAAAACAGAUAUGUGUUGGGUUUAGAAACGAGUCAAAUCCAGCAGCUUUAAUUGAAUCCACUAAUCAGCUAUGCACAAGCUGAGUCAGUCCUCGUAUAUGAAACUCAUUCUCAAUGGACAAAGAAAUGAGCACGAGUUACAGAGUGACUAAUUGUGCGUUUGGUGUGUAGGCGUUUGAUUGGGACACAGCAUUGUUUUCACUGGACAGAUUUUGACUGACAAGCCCAAUUCGUGGGCAGAGUCAAGCCAAUAAUGCAAAAUAUACUGUAUGUACUAUACUGCAAGUGUUUACACCCAGUGUAUUUUACAUCCCUCACUUUGGUUACAAAAACACCUGUGUGGAAACACCUGUUGUCAUCUUGUUAUGUGAUGCUACAGUGGAUGACUGACAAAUAGGAGCCUCUUUCACAAACACUGUUUUCUCAAAGGUUACAUGAUGACAGUCAUAAUUAAAAACAUCAGUUUGAGCAAAGAUGACCAUCUCUGCAAAGCAGCAGGAGGCAGGGGGAUAAUAUUAAUCACAGAUAACCAGUCCCACCCUUUGAUUGCUUGAUUACUUUAUGCAGAGUGGGGCAGUUAAGGUUAUAUUCAAAACUUGAAGGGUACAUUGUUUUUUUUUUUUAAAAUAGACUCCAUCACACCAUAAAGCUGAUAUUCUGAGCAGAAGUGAUAUUGCCCUGAUGUUUUUUAUUUUAUUUUUUUACUUGACUUAACAUGGAAAUAACUGUCCAAGUGAUGCAGACAAACACUUCCACCUGCAUUUAAAUGCAAUGCAAAAGAUGCAAACAUAAAUACAGUAACUGUCUAUUCUCAUACCAUGAAAAGUGCAGAGUUCUUGCAUUCAAUACAAAAGCCCACUGUUGCCCCUUUAGCUAUAUUAUGUUCCACUGGAGUUCAGUCAUAUCACAACAAUACUUGUAUACAUCCCACCCAAGGCAACGGCUGAAGUUCCAUGUGAUGUUCUACAUUGUAUUGUUGCUAUGAUACAGACUCAACAACCUGAGACACUAUCAGGAGACUUCAACCAUGUUACCCUCUCCUCCCUGCCAAAUCUUUUGGAGAGGCAGUACGAAAUGCAAAGAUGCAAGACAUCUAAACAAACUGGUGAAAAAAGCUGGCUCUGUGGUUGGCAUCAAGCUAGACUCACUGGCAGAUGUGUUAGAGGGAUGCACACUGAGAAAGGCAGAGGCUAUUCUAAAGAACAUGGAUGAUCCACAUCACAACACCUUGAUGGACCAAAGGGCCAAUAGCGGUGGAUGGCUCUGCACUGAAAGAUGGAGAGAUUGGAAAGAUCUUUUGUACCCACAGCCAUCAGACGCCUUUACUCUUCUAUAAACAGUAGAUGUGAUGAGAUUUCAGACAAACAAGUUGCCUUGGGCGUUGAAUAAAGUUCUUGGGUUCUAAAUUCAUGCCAGCCGGGAGUGCAGCGCAGGGUGGCGCACCCCAGGCAGUGAUAAAUUCGUGCAGCGCAGUCCCGUGUGCAGCCAAUUUGGUAAAUUGGUGAACCUCGGCACAACGAGAUGUGCCACUAUGGGCGUGUUGGCACAUUAGGGGGAGGUGUCAACUGAAUCAGCUGGCAUAUUGACAAAUUUGUGCCUGCCAGAGACCCAGGGAGUGCACUGAAAACUCACCAAUUCCAACCUGGUCAGCUUGCGGCACAGGCAGAGUGCAGCUGGUCAAGAGGAAAAUUCAUAGACCAGUGGAGCAGUACAUACACGUCAACAAUAGGCCUACCUCAUAGGCAGGUUUUCAUAGUACAGACACAUUUCAGUGCAAUAAAUAAUCAACAACAGCCACCAUUCAGUGUGGCUAUCUGAGUCAGCACAUACAUUUAGAUCUAUAUCUUAUCUGAUGACAGAGCAUGCACCUUUGGCACACGUAAUGGACACUCAACCUGACCAAAUUAACAAAGCUGAAAUUGUGACGAUUUAUCCAUAUUAAAUAAAUAGUCACACAUGAUGGUGUUAACAAGAUAUUUAAUUCUUGUCCAGUGCCAUGGGCACGUGAUGGAGGCUUGUCUCCAGUCUGUGGACUGCUGGAAAUCUCCUUCAAUCAUAAUUUUUACUCACUACCUCCCUACUUCACACAAACUGUGAAUAUCAACUGAUGGAUAUGUUGAAUAUCAUAUUUUCUGCAGUGCACAGUAAUCAUCUCAUCUGAUACUACAGACUGUAUUGAUUAAAAAAGAAACACCAUAUUGAAGAUUGUUAGGUGUGAAUGUCAGGCUUUAAUGCUAAGCUAAGCUAAUUCUUUGCUGGUUCAAGCUCAGUACACAGAAAAUCAUCAUUAUAAAGCCAUUUAUUUGACUAUUACUCCUCUGUUGCAGUACAUUUAUGUGCUGCAGAGAGUGCUAAUUGGCCCAUGAAAUUCUUGAUCAACUAAAAAAAAACAAGGCUUGCAGACUUGUCAUGUAACUCUUUGUUCUUACUUAAAGUAUGACAUCUUUUUAACGAUCUUUAACUAUCUUUCUAAACCCCUUUUUUCUCUCUCUUUUUGGAGUUGACUUUGUCUUUUAUUUUCUUUCAUCCCCUCAGUAUUAGACACUGCGACAACCUCCAAAGCUGAUUGACUCAGUUCAGCCCAAACUAAUCACCCUGCCUGUCUGCAUCCACCCACAGUGGGUCUCUGUACAUACACCCACUUGUAUUCUCAGCAUACACAGACAUGUAGACAGAAUCUAGAUAAGAUAUCUUUCCAAUGUCCCUAUUAAGAUCCUUUUUUUUUGUUUUUCAGAUUGCCAUGGAUUUAGUAUUGCACCAUCAGAAAAGUAUGUCUGCUGUAACUGUCUGGGCUGCCUGGGGCCUGUGAACAAAGACAGCAACUGUAAAUGAGCAGAAAUUCAGAGUAAAGGUGCACGACACAGAAAUCUGUGGGUCAAGCUUGUGCAAGUCAAGUCAGCCAGACUGUGCGUUCAACCAGUUACACUGCAUUGCUGCACAGUGGAAAAAAUAGUUGCACAACUCUGGCAGUUAACUCCAAAUUUAUGUGGCACACCCAUGACAGUCCCUGGCUGUUAUGCAAGUGAUAUUUAUGUGUAUGCCUUCAUUACCAAAGGAGUGCAAUCAUUUUACACCCCCCCCCCCAGUAUACACACAAACACAAACAAACACACACACACACACACUCACAUGCGCAAAUUUGAUUUCAACAUUUACUUAAGUGUAGGCAAUCAACUAACCCAAAUAUUUCCCUAAAAACUUACAUGAGGGUUCAGCCCCUGAACAGGUUUCCAGUGUUUACUGUCAGAAAAGCAAAACCACUUACGCCAGUGUAAACAAAGAUGUGUUGCUAAAUUGUUGUUUUAAAUUACACCAGUUCAGCUGUUUGUUAAUCCCAUGUAAUCUGAAAAUAACAAAGAAGUUAUCCGUUCAAUUUAAGCCUGAAGCUCAUCUCCUGUUAAUCAAAUCAAGCAAACAGGAAAGAAGGUGAAACUUGCAGUGUUUGUCCCAGGUGAGCUGGUUUGGGUAUUUAAGGAAAAACAAAACUUUAGACAAAUUGCAGAAAAGGGCUUUUUGGUUGAAGAUUCAGGAAAUAACCAGAUUUAAUUCAUCUGAUAUAAAAGCAGCAAAUCAAAUAAUUACAGGUUAAAACAAAGGUGUGUAGCAGGAUUAUUAUUCUUAAAUACAAUUUACGGGCAAAACCCACAGGAUCCAGAAUGGCUUCGCUCCGGCACGGCAAGCAGAUUAAAUACGCAAGCAUAUAGCGCCCACCGCCGCUGUCGGAGGACAAGAUCUUACGAUAUACUGAUAGCUCCCGUGAGAUCUCACAAGAUCUUGCGUGUUUCCCCGUGAGACAUUGAAUGAGAUUUGCCGAUCAGUGUAUAUAAAACGGCGGUGUAUAUAAACACCCACAUCCCACAACCCUGGCCUUUCCAAUUAUCAAGCUAAGAACAGUUCAGUGUAUUGACUUUUCUUUAUUUUGUAAAAUUAACCAGAUAUUUUACUCUGUAGCUGCAUAUAACUUCUGCUGCUGCUCAUUCUGCGCUGGACUGAAUUUAUGCGCCAUGCUGUGGCAUCCGGCCAACAUAGAAGCCUUGCGUAUCUAUCACGGUGGCCGGAUCAGAUACGCAGCGGAGCCGAACGGUGGACAGAUUCUGUGGAAUGACACACAUUGAUUAUAAUGCUUGCGUAUUUGAUCCACCUGCCGUGCCGGAUUGGAGCUGUUUUGGAUCCUGUGGGUUUUGCCCCUAACAGAAUGAUAAAAACUAGAGUUAAAAAAAACAUUUUCGUUCAAUUUUAGAUUGAUAUGAAAUUGAUUUAUUUCACUUUAAAGAUUUUAUGUGAGCUAGCAGCACUGUACAGCACCUCCAAGUUCAUUACUCAGUGUUUACAGUCAACUUCUUAUCAUCAUUCUAUCUGGCAAAACGGCAGCAAAACUCAGAAGAAAAUCACAGAGUCCUGUAUGAAAUUUCUUUAAAUACUACAGCGAGACAGACAAAAGCGAGUGCUUUGAAAACUGGUGAUAAAUUAUGUGAAAUACUUCUUAGGGCAAAAAAACUCAAAAAUCUGAAAGUCCAUUUUAAAGGGUUCACAUAAGAACGCUAAUUGCAAGUACCUUGAAAAAAAGGCCUCUCUGAGUAGCUCCCCUGAAAAAGUAGCAACAUCUUGGCCAGGAGACAAGUGUUUUCACCACUGACCAAAGAGCUGUUGGUCAGUAAACGCAGGAACACCACAAGCGGGAAGAUGCACUCAUAAAUUUGUCUACGAGUAAGUUGAUUGCCUUCGCAAAGUUUAGCUUUUCACUCGAGCCAAAGUUCAAAUUACCUGGUGCUGCAUGAAGUGAAUAACCUUAUUGCCGAGUAUGAAAAACUAAAACAAUACUAAAUUUAAUAAAAGCUAAACUAAAACAAAUCAGGAAAAAAUACAAACUAAUAAAAAUGUACAAACCCGCUCUAAAAACUAAUUAAAACUAACUGAAUGAAAGAAAAAGUCCAAAUGAAAUAAAACUAAACUAUAAUGAAAAAUUCCAAACAAUUAUAACCUUGGUGUGUAGAGUAUAUAUUGAUCUAUAAAACAGCUUUGAACCAUGAUGGAUAAUAGGAGAGAUGGGGACAAUGCAUGUCACUUUAAAUACAAUAGCUUUGAGUCAGACUAAAGUUAAAACACAAAGACUUGACAGUAGAAAAUGUGUUUAUGUCCUUCAGUUAUUGCCACAACGGUUAUAUUGUAUGAACAGAAAUUAAAAUACAACACAGAAUAUUAGCCAUUUUGUUUCAAUGGUUUAUGCUAGUGAUGGUUUCAAGAAGGAGUGUUUUAUUUCUAUUUACUUUUACUUUUUCUUAAAGUUAUGUAAACACCAGCUUAGCCAACUAAAACAUGUCUAUCCCCACAAUGUGACACUGUUAUUGCAGGUUAGUGCACCUUGUUGUCCUACGUUACAGCACAUUUACUGUAGUCUGAAGGGUUCUAAAUCCAGCUGAUCACCUUUCAGAUGUAUCACGAAUAUGGUGCUACAGAAAAAUCAGGUCAUUAUAAGCCAGGAUCUCUGAGUAUUUUUGCAUCACCAUGAGUAAACUAUGCAGCAAAGAAAUACGGCAGAUCUGGUUUUAACAGAGAGCCAAACCUGAUGUAUAGGUAUAUCUUAGAAAGCCUGUCAUUAUAGUGAGUACAAUCUAAUUAUUCACAACAACAAACACAACACAAUAAGUAUCAACUUCUAAAUCUUAUGUGUUGUCUUGAGGAAUAAUUUACAUCUUUUGCUUUAUAAACGCUGUGUAACAUUUAAUUUAUUGAUGUGACCUUGCAGUAUGUGCAUGCAUAUCCAUAUUUUAUGGGGUUGUCAUAUGUUUAAUGACUGUCUGUUUUUCUCGUCUGUUUGUUAUUUUUCUCUCUGUUUUUCUCACUGAUCGUAAAUUUGAAACACCUGGGGCUUAGUUCAACAUAAUAAUGGUAUUAUUUUCCAGAUCUGGCUCAGAUUUAUUCUAGUUUUAGGAGAGAUAUUUCAGCUGCUUUUGUUGUGGUGGUGAUAAAAUUUCAAAUCAAAUCAUGACUCAAAGGAAGGCUGUUGCAAGAUACAGGUAUUAGCUGUUACUGAUGAAAAAUUAUAGUUCCAAAAUACCAUUAGGUAAAUAUAGUGUAAGUAACUGGUUUAAUAAUGUUUUUUUAAAUAGGUUUCCAAUCCACUGCAAGUCAUGUAAACUGUCAAAGUUUAGAGGAUGAGGAAACCUUCACACAAAACAGUAAAUAUAUCAAAAUAAAACCCCCAUAAAUGACUGUUUUAUGAGCUGAUCUCUCCAUGGAAGUGUCCGUUUCAGGGUUGAUGAUGUGGAUAAAACAUAACUUUGAAAAUCUCAACAAAUGGAUGAUGGCAUGUAUUACAAGUUUAAUGCCUUUAUCGGCAGAAUUAAGUGUGUUGCUCCACUCCUGCCUGACUUUUACUCUUCAAAGUUUCCUGUAAAUAUUGUCAUGAUAUUGUCAUUGUGAUAUAUGAUGGCCAACAUCAUCCUGGUCCUCAUUUAUCAAUGUUGCGCAGAUCUGAGCGCAGGAUUCACAGUACGAUAGGACACACGUGAGAUUUAUGAAAGGGUUCGUAUCUGACCAAUCCCAGCGUACUUAUGAUCGGGUCUUGAUAAAUGCGGCGGCUGAAAUCGAUUGUCAUUAACAUGUUUACGCCCUUAAAUAUUCGUGGUUCAGAAGCCUCACCCACUGAGGUCAAACAUGAAAGAGGAGAAAUAUUACAAAGAUGCUAAACUUUUCCGAGCUGAAAGUGGAUAUCCUCCCAUCUGUGGUGGAAACUAACAAGAAUUUUCUCUUUGGAAGCAUCAAAACUGGUAUAAAAGCAGUCCAGAAAACUCCUGUCUGGAGCAGGAUUAUGGUGGCGGUGAACAGCACUGCCGCGGAAUAGCGGACAGUGGCUAAAGUUUGAAUAAAUCAUUAGUCAAUAAAUUGCUCAUGAUGAUACAUCAAUAUCUCAUACAUGCCUCAUAUUUGUUUAUUGCCCUGACAUAGGGUAUGUUGCUCCUUUUAUUGAAAGUAUUUAGUUUUAAUUUGUUGCGUCUUUGUAAUGUAGAGCAGACUGGAGAGUCUGACAGAGGCUGAACAAAAUAAUUAUUAAUGUCACCAAACGGUGUGUUGCUGCCCCUGAGGCACAUUUUUAUGGAUUUCUAUUGGAUUUUUAUCACUAAUUUAAUAGCAAGAGCACUUUCUAAACUUAUACUUUACAUGUCAGAAUCCAUGGAUAAGGUCCUGUCUCCUCUGUGCAGCACCUUUGUGGAGUCUAUCCUCGUUAUUUUUCUCCGGGCAUCGGGUCCUCAUGUUGCACCGGCACAGCCAACGGCACUCCAUUCGCCAGUGCAACAUUGUUCAAAACUGUACUGGCCAAAAUGAUGUCCCACACCCUUUCAGAAGUGUACAACAACGUCCCCACUGCUGGGCCAAGACAGAGACACCUGCCUUUUAGGAGUAAAACGCAGCGCUCAACAGUGGCGCGUGUGCAUGUGUGCGUUAUGUUGAAACGGCGCUCCUGCUCUGUGGCAGUGUUUUUGGGCAGAGUUAUCAAAUAGGCCUAUUCACUAAGGACAUAACAAAUCUAUUUUAUUUUAUUUUUUAUUUUAUUUACAUCUUAAUCUUUAAUGAAACAUGGCUGAUUGUGCUUAAUGACAGGUUUGAGGUUUGUUUAUCAAUUAUUUUUAAAACAGACAUUUGCUGAACCACAGAUCCACACUGACUCAAACUUGCAUACACGAUGUCAGACCUGUUGUGAGAUUUGGUCGUAGCGUAGGCUCACGUGCAGAUUGAUAAACGCAGAUCCUCACGUCAAAAUUGUCGUACACAAAGGUGUACGCAAGUUUUCUGCCGUAUGCAAGCUUGAUAAAUGAGGGCCCCUGAGUUUAGAAGUCAACCCCAAUUCAUAGUGACACACACAGGCAAUUCUGUCACUAUGACAAGUAAAACUUCACCCUUAACCUAUUUGGAUCUCAGUAUGUAAAAUGAUGAGCUCCAUGACCAAGUGAUUUGAUCUGUGAGUAAACAGAGUUUUCCACAAACUGAUCUCAUAUCCUGGGGUCCUGUUUGACCCAGAUGUUUAAGAGUGGGCUGCAUAUACAGAGGCUAUUGUCCUCAAUGCAGCAGUCAUUGGUUUGCUGCAUCUUCUUCCCAUAAUCUUUGUCACUCAUAAGCUGUCUUUUUAUCUGUAUGCACAAUAAGAAUCAUAAAGUAAAGCUUUGUUACUCAUCACAUCUGCUCUCAUCACCGAGGCUGCACCAAUGGAAAGGAGAGAUCAUGUUACUGUACCUGCAAGACAGAAAAAAAGCAUUGUUAGAUGAGCAUUCAGUGUUUUCUCUUAUUGUGCUCAGUUUGAUUGGACACAGGAGUCAUUAUAAGGCGAUGCUAACAUGCAGAAAACAGGCAGAGUAAUAUUCUCUAGGUUUUAAUACAAGCAAGGAAAGAGUUAAGGGGGAAUUCGGGGUUACAACGGUCCCCUCCCCCCUUUCUCCUUACUUGUUUUCUAUUUUAAUAGCUUCCUUCCUUCCUUCUUACAUUUUUCGUUCACCAGACAGACUGCCUGCCUAUUUGGUUUGGCAGCACAAGCUAAAUGCAAUCUAUCUGUAACAGAGGUCCUGGUGAUGUUUAACCCAUUCAGGGCAGUGAGAUGGAGGAAUCAAUCACAACAGAAAAAAAAUAAAAUAAAUAAAAAGCCUCUCCUGCCAGCUGCCGCCUUAACACUCCUUCCUGCGGUUGGCUGACAUGAAAAUGAAACCCAUGGGAGUAGAAAGAGGUCAAACCCAUUUAGGCGACCAUGUGGAAAUGUCACACAAAAACAAUGUGUAUAAAUGGCUGAACCCUUAAAGUGUUUGUGCGCUUGGUCUUUGGAAAUGUAGCCACCAUUACUGGAGCAGACAGCAAAUCAGAGCAUUGGAAUAUCAUUUCUAAACAUAAAGGCAAGAAUGAAAAAAGGAAGACAUCGUCAGGUAGCAAGGAUGAAUCUAUCCCUGCUCAGAAGCACAGACAGUUCUCUGGUAUGCCUGUGAGGAAAUGACUGCCUACAACAAAAUGACCAUCACUGAAAGUAAGAGUGAAUAAUAGGUGGAGAAAAAAAAAAUCGUUCUUCUGUCAUAUCUAAGAGCAUUUAAUGCUGCUUUGGUUCACAAAGAUUUAUGCUCUGUUCUAGUAUACAGAGUAAUUGAAAAAAAAAAAAAAGCAGAGUGUUAAGCACACAGGCUAACAGAGCCGGAGCUUGUCAAUAGGCAAGGCAGGCAGUUGCUUGGGGCCCCAGGCCACUAGGGGGCCCCCAAGGGCUGAUGAAACUUACUCUCCGCUGAAAUAUUGCAAUCCUAUGAAACAACUAGUGGUCAAAUUGCAAUGAUAUCCUAGAGGGAUCCCCCCCUAAAAGGGGCUCCAUGUCAUCCCUGUCACACUUUUACGUGACCUACGUCCGUCUUUACUGUACUGUGUCAAUCAAAGUAACGUCAAAACCAGCCGUGAAGUCGCGCUACUUAUCAGGGAGUGAGAAAAGAAAAGAAAAGAAAAAAAGGAGAGAGCAAGACAGUGGUAAAUGGAGCAGAUAGUGAAGUGUGGCAAACACUUGACCUAGCAUUAGGUGUAAGGCUGGCUGUUAAUUGUUUGGUAGUUAGUUAGCCGUGUUAGCAGAGUGGGAGACGUUAACCUAGGGUUCCCGCUUUGUUCACUCACUGUUACUGUGUGUUGACAAACCCGCACUCUCUUGCAAGGUUAGCUGACAGAGAGACAAGUGCUUGUCUAAGGUACAAUACUGAAAUUUCACCAAACUAGAACAUCGGUACGGGAGUGAUUUAGACGGAAAAAACAGCUAACCCAGACAACAGCUUUCACUGUUAAUGAAACACUAUUAAUGAAAGUUGUGUCUUAACUAGUCUAACUCUUAGACUAUUUAUGCUUUGAAAUUAAGAUCUAAAUUUAGACAGUAUGCUUUCUGCAUGAAAGACUAUCAACUUUGGAGCAUAUAACAUACUGAAGUAAGUCUCAAAAAUCAAAUCUUAUAACAGGGCUGGGGUGCUGGUUAUUGGGGUAAAAACAUACCAGAGCUGUAGCUAUUUUAAACCAACAUUUUCAAGUUACGUUGUAAUCAUGAUAAUUGUUUUUAAAAUUUUCCAUUUCUGACCUCUUUUUUUGUUUUCAGAUCAUUUAUAUGUUUAACGCUCGUCAGAGGGGCCUCUUGAGAAUUUUUGCUUGGAGCCCCAGCACACUGUAGAAUCGGCACUGAAUAUCUGUUAGGUGUUCCUAGGGACAAUGUUUUUUGGCAUGGGACAGAUAGAUGACACUUAUAAAAAAAAAGUUUCCUGUCAUAGACUUUUGAUUAAUGUUUGCCGGUUUCAUUGAGUUUGAUUUCCUCUAAAUUGUAUGUCUGUCUCAUUGUGUGUAAUCCAAAGGCUGUUUUUUUUUUUUUUUUUUUCAAGGUUGGGAAGAAAAAUGUGUAGCUUCUAUUAUGAACACAUUUGCAUCUUUUGCAUAAGUGAUGCUCAUGUGCAUAAUUAAUGUCAGCCUUCACAUGUGCAUGCAUUUGUAAAUAUUAACAGUAUAUUUCUUUAUUCAUGCAGUAUCAGGGGGCAGAUCUGAAUGAUUUCAACAUUUGCUUCAGUGGACUUUAGAGCCGGAGGCGAUUGGUACUGGAAAGAUGAGGCAGAGAAUGUGAGGAAAAGGCAAACCACCACUGCAAAAAGUGACAUCUCCUUGCCCUCCGUGGUAUCAAUAAGUAAAACCUGUCUUGUGGAGAACUUCUCUGAGUCAAGUUAUAUUUCCAGAACUGACAAUUAUAAAAGAUUCAGGCGUAUGGCUGCUAAAACUCAAAAGUGCAAAUACAGCAGAAUGUCCCAAAACAACACGGCCAUGACCUUAAGACCCACUCUCGAUAAUAUGCAUGUUUAAGCGAUUUUAGGAUUCUGUUUAUGAGUCGCUCCUUUUUACGUCUGUUUUUUUUUUUUUUUUUUUUCUUUCAAACACAAAUACAGAUGAUGCAGUGCAGUGUUGAUACCCCUUGUGGUGCUAAUUAAUUGUGACUCAAGGUCAAGAAACAGAUUCCUUCAUUUCAACAUGGAGCAACCCACUGUCCAGUACUAGUUGUUCUUGGUUUUAAUGAGUCUCUCUAAAGUCCCUCCACCUCUACAGUUUCCUUAUCUGUUGGACUUUUUCCCUCCAAACUCCUGCUUCUCCUCAGAUAAUCUCUCUCUGCCAAUUAGUGUCCUUCCAAAAUGACCCAUAUGAGCGUUUUCUGAUCUAAGGCCCUUAUCAGCAGGACAACAUCAUCCACCAUUGUGCGGUCAGUGAUUGCUUUUUGGCUUAUGAUUAAAGGGAGUUAAAUAUUACUCGUAUCUCCCUGCAGAAGUAUCACACCAUGCCCCCAAAUUCAAGGUUGCCCCGUGUAUUGUGUCUUUCUGCUUUUUGACUGGAUGAAUUCAAAGGGUAGCAGAGACAUUCCCAGCAAGAGCAAACACGUAGUUAUCGAAGGCAAUAGGAGUUUGGACCCAAAUGCAGACCAACAGAAUGAUGAAUCAAUGGGGAAUGAUAGAUAAUAAAAAGAUAUGGGAUAUUUAAUUAACUAUAUUGAAAUAUAAUCGACACUACCUAUCCUUUCAUUGGGUUUUCAAAUAGGAAUAGAACCCCACAUUACUGCUCAUUCACCAAGCAAAAAUGUCAAGCUGAUUUUAAAGGCCCAGCACUGCCUAUAAAAGCUACAAUGAACUCCUCUCACAUCCAGUUAGAUCUCCCCAGGUGCCACUUAAAGAACGAAGGUUACACAUAUUAACCCUACUUAUAAGAGCUGAAGCAGAGCCCCCUAAUGGGCUCAGUAGGCCCGUCAACUCUACUCCUGCAGAGCAGGGCACUCAAAUGUCCAUAUACAGCACUGUUUGGCUCCCGAAGAUAGACUCUAGUGCAGCGAAGGAUGUGAAAGUAAAGGAUGGUCGACAUGCUUCAGUUCUACAUCUUUGGCAUUGAUAAACAACAGACAAGCAGGAACAAUGAUUCUGUUGUGAAAAAAACAACAACACUGUGUUUAAUCGAGAACACUGGUGCAACAUGAAUAUUGAAAAAAAAUUCAGUAGUUAUCAAAAGGCUCCUGUGCAGGGGAUUGAAACCCAAAUGGAUGGAGCAUAAGGCCCUGAUAGUUCAGGUCACAUCUGCAGGUCUACAGUCUCUCAUGCGUGUGACGGUGACCAUAUUCUAAGGUUGAAGGGUUUUCUAUAGUCUCCAUAUCUAGGACAACACUGACACUGAGUGACAGAUGGGUCACCUGUCAUCCUUGACAGAGCAGAUAUGUCUACAGACACUCUUUUAGGUCUAUCAUAUGUCAUGUCAUUUCAAGGAUGUGAAAAUGUAGUAGGCCUGUGUGCUUAUGAUUGGCUGUGUGCAAAGACAUCAAACCUAUCGCAUCUCAUAUUGAUUUAGGGAAGAGAAGUACUUUUUUGUGUGUGUGAGGAAGCAGCACAAGGACAGAGGAGGCAUAUUUGCCAGAUGAGAAGUCCAGACUGGAGGUAUUGAUGCUGAUCUGCACAGUUGUCCCAUACGUCAAACCCAAAAGUACACGCUGAACUAUAUAGUGCCACCACAGUCUGUCUCCAAAACACCCUCAUAUAGUUGAUCAUAUGUAUGUCACUACAUUGCUAAAUAAAAGAGACAAUCUGUGGUAAUGCCACUUUGGUCAAAAACUUUCCACUCCUUCAGAAGUCUCCUGUCUCCUUGAUCUCCAUUACCUCUAGGUUCAUUUAAUGAAUCCUUCAUCAUGAUGAAGGGGAAAUGAUUACAGGGUCAAGCAAGGUCAAAGGACCCAAGAAUUCACAAAUUAAUGAAAUGAGGAGAAGCCAUUGGCUUUGUGUUCAAGGCAAAAACAUUACAAAUUCCUCUCAUAGCAGUUAGUUAUGUCAAAGUAUAAGUAUUUGUUACUUUUCAUUUUCUGGAGGAGAUUAGUUUGUGGUGAUGCUUUUUCAGGCCAAGAGAGGACAGACAUUGAGCUGUCCACUUCUAGUCAAAUAUUGUUGUAUGCAUCAUUAAACCCGGUUUAAACAGGCCCUAAAGUCUGUAAGGCAGUCACACUGUAAUUCUCAAACUGUGGCUCCAGAAUGAUUUAAGCCAGGGGCCUCAAAGGAGAAGCAAAAGCAGCUCCGUCACCACCUCUGUGACUCAGAGGACUCCGGUUGUUUGUUAUAAAAGUCUUUUUUUAUGAAACUUGACAGUAAAAGGAGCAGCCACAGGAGCCUCAUGUUUGUGGGAAGUAUGCUUGUUGCAAAGAUGAGAUAUGAGAUUGAUGACUAAAAAUAAUGAAGUUUAAAAUCUUUGCUUAUAAGGUAAAAAAAAAAUAAAAAGUUGCACCCAGAUCUAAAUCAAAUUUAAACACCAUAAACAGCCAGAAAAUGGAAGUGCAGCUGCUUUAAUUCUGUUGAUGGUGGGCAAGCAGGCUUGAGGGGAUACAAUAAGAGUAGAAACUGAGGCCACUAUGAUAAAGUGGAGCAAUAAUUCCCCCCCUACUGCCAUGGCCACAGAGGGCCAGCCUUGGCCCCCAUUCCUUCUCUCCUCCUCUUUCCCUUUACACAAGGAAGACAGCCAAUAUGUGCCAGAGCGACAUAUCCUUCCCCCAGAUAAUGGAAUUGCCUGGCUGUAAUAAUAAUUUGAAUUUCACGCCCCGGUGCCUCGGCGCGGAGGGAUCGCCGGAACAGUGGCAUAAAUUAGCCUCCAUGCACUGAGCUGAUCGAUGACUGCCCCGUCCGCCACCUAUUGAUCUGAGACAUCUCCUGCAGACGCAAGUGCACUCUGCAUCUGUGCACACGCAGGCAUGACACCAUUUUCUGCUCGGGAAUGUUGCAAGAAACAGUAAAAGGUGUGGGAUGCUGACUGUGUAAGGGUAAAGUAAAAGACGCAUGAUAAAAUUCAAGGAGUCUGGAACCUGUUUAGGGCAAAUGUGGCAUGUAAGUGUUUUGUAAGAGCAAUGGGUGGAUUUAAUUAUAGAGUGACAGACAUGAGACAAAAGACAUAAACAUGUCUGUAAACACACACACUGCAUGGGGCCAGAAUGUUGCUGAGCCUGCUUGGACUCAGCGACUGUCUGGGAGCAGACACCUCACUAUCUGCAGUAUUCUGACAGACAAAAACAUAAACUUUGCUGUUUUUUACAGAGUCUCGGCAGCAUGUUUUCAUCCCUCCUAUCUUUUCUAGCAUUAGGUGGAAGAAGACUAAUGCUGUUUGUUGAUAACACAGGCUGUGGGGCCUUAAAGUUGUAAAAAAAGUGCGACCAACAUCAUCAUCGGAAUCAGCUUUGGGUAAAGGAUCAUCUCUUUACAGUGCAUCAUUCUGCUCUGUGCUGUACAGAUGCAUUUUUGCAUUGCUUAUAGAAAAUAAAACAGCAUCUCAUCAGUAAAUCAAUUCAUCAAUCAACAUGAAAGAGAAAGGGCAUAAAUAAUGUGAAUACGCACAUAUCUGAUACAUUAUUGAGGAAGUGCAGAAACAUAGCAAAGAAUAAGAGGGCCGGCUGUUAAAAAAUGCAUCCCUGUCUUUUGAUGCUGCCUGCUGCAGGAAAAAAACAUUCUGCCAUAAAUUCAAGUCAGAGAGCAUGAGAUGGCUGGAAGCUCCUUGUGACACAAUUACGCAGACAAACACACAUGUAUUCAGUGGAUUAACACACACAAUCAUGGAUUUAAUAAGGAUUCAGAGACAAGUGUGGACUGGAAAAUAAGAAAAUCACACUCAAAGACGGACACACCAAUUGACACACCAAGUUUCUCAAUUGAACCACUUUGCAGGAAUAAGCACAUCUGGAGGCAUGUUACAGCUUCAACUUCAUAGUAGGUCCUCUUGCAAAAAAAGGGGAUCAAAAUGGGACCCAAUGGGUGCUCCUGCACAGAAAUUCAGGCUACCAUCAAAAAUGCUUAACUCAUUAAAAGCAUAAGCAGCCAAAUUCUCCUGAUGAAGCACUGGACAGUGAGGCAUGAAGGUAAUUUGACCUUUCUUCAGGUCUGUGACUGAGAGUGCAGCAGGGGGACCAGGACCAAAAAUGAGGAAAAUCAAUUAUCAAUCCAGGUCUGUCUUUCCCCAAUGAGAGGCUGACGAUGGGUUUGGGGGAAUCAAUGAGCAUCAUAAAAACACUGUGCACGAAGAGACAAGCCUUAAGCCGAAAACAUACAGGAUCCGUAUUGAGCGCGUUCUGUAUUUGCUCCGUAGAGCAGCAUUUGGUAUCGCAUACAGGAUGAGUAUUUGGAGCGUGGCAGCAGCGUGGUGCAGCCCCGGUCAGCUGGGCUCAGGAUAGAGGAAACAACAUGCUCACAACAGGUUGUUUUUCCUUUCUGUGGUCUAUUUCCUGCUAAUUUGGAUAUAAUUCAGUGACUGUUGAGCCUCUACUAUAUGUGAAAUUGCAGGUUUACUUGUGUUUAAUAAAGUAAACUAUGUUCCUUUAUGCUGUGCUGUUACAUUUAGACAGAGUUAGCAGUUCAAAGUCCUGUUGGGUCCACAUGGAUCAGGGAUUGACCAUCGGAUUGUUUUGUAUUACUGAUGAAUCCAUAACCAGGAAGUAUUUCUCAUCGACAUGAACUGAUAGACAGUCGGGAGUCCGCAUAUGGUGUUUUAUUUUGAAAAUGACAUUCACGGUUUUCGUGCUUGACUUCCUGUCUUGAACAACCUUCUCUGUGUGGAUUGACGCGCAUUGAAAGCGUAGAGCAGCAAAAAUUGACUCGCCGCCUAUCUUUAGCAGUGCUGCUCUCACUAUGAUGCUGCGACAGAGCUGAUACACGUCCUGUAUGCUUCACUACAUUGAUCAGAAUUGCCACCUACUUGCUGCAUGAUACACGACACUGCUGCCGCGCUCCAAAUACGAAUCCUGUAUGUUUUAGCCUUAACACUCCUGUAUGUCUACACUUAACACCUGUGGGGGGGGGGCUCAUAAUCAGGCAUGUCCUGAGGCAAGGCUGCACAGACUGACACUACAGGCAUUACAGAAGGACAAUUUGAAAGCAGCCUUCCCAUUUCUUGGGAACCUGCUCAUUUAGCAUCCCUUGUUUCAUCACUGUAGUUAUGUACUUUGAGCUGUGACAAAUGGUUAUACAGACACUCUGUGGAGUAAAUGCAAAAUUAAGCAUUUGCAGCUGCAAUGACCAAACUUCACCAAAGGUAUCAUUAAAAAUUUAAAGCUGCUAUUUAAAGCCAAUUUAACUGAGCAGGGAAGUGAGGUACUUUGCAAGAUUAGCAAGUUACACAGGUUUUUUAAGCAGAUCUGUAGUGACGCUGUUAUGGUAGUGUCAAAGAUAACUGUACUGAACACUGUCUUUGCCAUUGAAUAUGGUCAACAACUCUGACGGAUAAAGAUCUAGACACAACCAGUUUACACCUUUCUCACAGUUACACAAACUUUAUCUCCAGAUAAAAUCAGUGCACUCCCCUGUGAGAGAGACAAAGGCAGACAAUGGGGAAGUUUAUAGUUGGCUCUCCAACUCUCUGCCCACCUUGGUUGGUAGGAAUGCUGGCACCCGAAGAGUCCAAAAGGCAGAUAUGAUUUUUGCUCCGUUGGCAUCAACUGUAUGUAGUGUUUUUUAUUGUGUUUUGUUUUGUGUGUGUGAAAGACAUGGGAAAUUCUGACAAAGAGGAACCCUGAUUCAGUUGGAGAUACUCUUUAUCUGUUUUUGUUGAGAAAGCGCUUUGUACAUUUCUUAUAACAUGCUAAAUAACAUUAAGUCCUUUUUGAGAGUCUUUUAUUCUUAAAUUCUUUUUCUUGUUUCCGUUUGUAAAGCUCUGUUGUUUUAAAUCCUACUAUACUUAAGCCUCAUUGAAUUACCUUUCCAUGUAUUUUACAUGCAUAUUUUACAACAUCUCAUUGAACAUUUGCUUAUGAGUGAAGCUUCAAAGAGAAAAUGGAAGAUCAUUUUCUGAAGUUGUAAAGAAAAGGAGCAAUCGGGUAGCCAGUUCUCUCCAAAGCCAUUUGAUAAGCUUUUGAUCUCCCCAACUGUGAAUGUUACUUUCACAGUUACAAAGCACAACACAAAGACUUCACCAAAAGGCAUCCAGUCUGAGUGAUGCAGCCUUCUGCAACACCGGUCAGCCAUGAUGGAUGUUACGUCCUCUGCGCUCACACUGAAAGAGGCUGUUUAUAAUUUUUUUUCUUUCUCCUCACAUUUGCACUCCAUAGUCUCAUUAUCUAUCAGAUAAGAGCCGAGUUGUUUCGCGGAUGAAAGCCAGUGGGUCGAACCAUGAAAAAGACGUUAUGUAGCCAUAAUGCCAACCAUAUUAUUAUUUUUCUCCCAUCUCUGUAGGACAGCAAAAACAGCUGAAGGGCAUGAAUUGUGUUAAGAAUUCCCUUUUAACCUCUCUGCCAUACUGGCCUGCAUUCCCUCUGUGGAUCAGGAAGAAGCAGAAUCACAGAAUCUGACUCACAAUCACAUGUGGCGUAGCCAGAAACAUAGCAAAAACAUGCAAAGGAUGUCGUUUAACUUCUUUCACCGCAUGUUUUUUUUUUUUUUUUUUUUUUGGGAGGAUUGGAGAGGGCUGCUCAUGUUUGGUUAGAUAAAACAUGCCAAACAGCCGCUACCUGGCCUGUACAUCUCCCUGUCCUCUGUAUGACCACAUCUGUUAUUAUUUCAGUUAACUGCUAUGAAAACAUAAAGUCGCAGCUGGGACACACUGUUAACCUCCCAUCUGGCUGUCUAAUCAAGUCAAGGAUGGCAAUAAUUUAGUUUCAUACCCAAUGUGUUUUCAUCCCAUUUCUAAUACCAGUGCUUUAUAAUAGCUCUAUGACAGACCUUGUACCCUCUAGCGCAUGUUUCAGGACAGUCAUUGGUGCAUGUUUUAGGGUCAUUUUAAUCCCUCCAAUGUUAAUGUGGUGAAUGUUCUGAAACGGAGAUAAUAAACUGCUUUGGUUUAGGUUUGGUUUAAUAACUACGCUCUGACUUGACUUUUCAGCAAGGAUUUAAAAACAGGUCUCCUUGCUAAAUGUCUUACAUUGUUUGACCUAUAUAAUACCUUUCAUAUCAACUUCAGUUGCACUUUAUUAGACUUUGCAGCACAGCACCCAAUUUCCAAUGUGUUGUGUUGUACAGCUUGGAAGGCUGCUCCGGCUGUCCAAUAGUACUACAAAAUGGUUUACAUCAGAGAAAUGAAAAAAAAAGCAGACCAUAUUUGACACAUCCCUUCACUAGGGGUGUGACAGGAUCUCGUACCACGAGACCUCGCAAGAUUAAACUCAACGAUAUUUCUUGUCGCAUUGAAAAUCUGUCUUGUGAGAUUUGUGAGCUAUCCAAACUUCUAUUUUUGACCUACGGGGGCAGUAAUGCGCCUUUGCUACGUCUACCCUGCCAGAACCUACAGAAGGAGAAGGAGAAGAAGAGGAGGAAAAGGAGGGGAAGCAGCAAGCAGCCAGAAUACCAUCAGAAAAUACCGGUAUUGCCAUCGAAAAUGUCCCUGCCACUUUCAAAUCAUUUGUUUGACAGCAUUUUAGGUACCCAGCGGAAAUGAUAAAUAGUAGAGUGACUGAUAAGACACGAACAAUAUGCAAACAUGAAAAUAAUGCCGUACACUGCGGCUAAUACGCAGAUGGUUUAGUCAUAUAUUUUGUCAUUGUAGUUUUCUUAAAAUCUCGUCUCGUUCUCGUGAACCAAAUAUCGUGUCUCGUCUCUUCUUGUGAGCUGAGUGUAUCAUCACACCCCUACCCUUUACCAUGUGUAGUGCCGCACAGAAACUGGGAAUCAAACACAAAGGUCAUCUGCCCCAAUCAUAGAGUAAAUGAAGCUCUAGUGGUCUUAGUGAUGACACUCAUGGUUUCUGAAAAGGUGCUCUGAAGCCCAAAGAUGGCGUCUACCCUACUGGACACACUGACUCCAACUACCUUCUAUGUACACUACAGGCCAGAAGUUUGGAAGCAAGGCCAUUACAGGCCAAACAGUUGGGAGAAACUUCAAGUUUUUGUUCACAAUGCUUUUUUUUUAAAUCCAGCAAGAGUUUUAUGUAUUUUGGGAUGUAUUUACUCCAUGAUCAGAUGUUGCUUUCAUGGAAAUGCACCAUUUUACUCCAUUUACCCUUAGAUAUACAUGGAUGUUAACAGACCAUUGCUAAAUAUAUGUCAGCAAAAGAUAAUAAGGGCUUAGUUUUAGGGUUGAAAACAUUUGCAAGAGUCACAACUUCAGUGCAAAAGCAAAAAAACAAAUCACAGUUGGAUUAUUCACUUCAACUUUUUGGCUUUUGAGAGUCUGCAGACAAAAAUCCUAAUAAAUCUCAACUGCGUUCAAACUACCACAAAAAUGGCUAGAAAGAAGCAACUGAAUAAAGAAACAAAAGUACAGAUUUGUACAUUGAGGAAAGAAGGAUACACAGAAAGAGAAAUUGCAAAACGCCUUAAGGUGUUUAACAAGGGAGUCCACGACACUCUGAAGAGACCAGAGGAACGUGGAAAUUAUGAUGAUAGAAAAAGGCCUAGAUGAAAGAGAGUUACUACAAAAGCAGAGGAUAAACAUAGCAUUGUCACCAGUAAGAGAGAUUGGCGAAAGACAGCACCACGAAUAAGGGAGGAAAUCAACAAGACAAGGUCGAAACCCAUAUCUCUGACAACCGUGAAAUGACGUUUGAGAAAGGCGUUGUGUAUCUGCAAAAAAAACACUACUUCGUCCACAGAAUAAGAAAAAGAGAUAUGAGUGGGCAAAAGCUCACAAAAAUUGGACUUAUGAUGACUAGAAACAAGUUUGCACUGAUUGGUUCAAAACGCAGAGUCUAUGUCCACAGACAAACUGGUGAACGUCUGAAAGCACCAUGUGUUACACCCAC